UUUUUUUUUUUUUGCUAUUAGUUUUUCAUUGGUUUUGCUACACUUAAAACAAUUUUUUUUACAGAUGAUGUCAUUUAUGACAUCGUGCUUAUGUAGCAUGCCACAUAAGUUAUUUUGUUGACAUGCAAUUUGAUUGACGGUUAACUCAUAUUUAUCGUUAAAAUUGGGUUGAUUUCUAAAAAGUUCGUAACGUUAAGUGUGACAAUCAAAAAGUAAAAAAGGUUAAAGGCUAAAACUCAAAAAUUCAUAAAUAUUGAAGGUAUUUUUUACAAUUAUGCCAAUAAUUAAGCAUGAUAAAUACAGGAUAAUAUAAAAAGGAAGCCGUUUUAUUUUUUGUCCAACCAAUCUCUAAAGAUAAAUAAGGCAAAUAAAAUGUCAAGUGAUUGCACAAACUAACUUGUCAUUAAAAAAAAAAUCUAAGAAAUUUGCUACAAAUUCUAAAUAAAUUAACAUCCCUACUAACCCUUUUAAUGUAUAUAGUUUAAAAUUAUGUAAUAAAAUAUUUCUUCUAAAUUGAAUUAUCAUGAAAAUGAAGACAGGAUCGUGUUUUAAACAAAUUAAUAGAUGAUACAAACACAAUAUAUAAAUAUACUUAAAAUAUGAUAAUAUAUGUAUAAAAUUAUUAAUUUAUAAAGAAAACAAAUAAGUUUAAAACAAAAAUAAUAAUAAGAAGGGAAAGAAAAACAAAUUUGCUAUUUUUCUUCCUUUACUCUCUCUUUCUUUUUAGCUAUUUUCUUUUAAUCCCCUCUCUCCCACCCAUCCCCAUUUCCCCACGUUGCAGCUGAAAAUAACAAAAUGCCGCCCGUCACAAAUUAGAGCUUGGACAUCUCUACUAUCCUCGUGUUUGCUACUUUUAUAUAUAUUAUUAGGUUUAUGUAAUUUCCAUAAAUUUAAAUUUUAGUUUUUAUAUUUUAUUUUUAAGAAUUUAAUCUCUUUAUUAAAUUUUAAAAUGUAAAUUCAAUUAUUUAAAAUUGUUAAUUAUUUUUUAUUAAAUUCAAGUUUAUUGUAAUAUCUUUUUUUUAGUUAUAUGAUUAUCAAGUGAGUAUUUUUUUAUUUUAAAAUAUCACACUAACAAAUUUUUUAAAAAAAUAUUAAUAAUUAUACCUAAAAUUUGAAAUCUAAAAAAUAAAAUAAUUAAAUUUCUGAAUUUUUAAAUUAUAAAAAAUAGAGAGACUUAUUGAAUAUUUUAACAAUUUGUUUUUAAAAAAAUUUAAUGAAGUCGAUCCUAUCCAGUUAAGUUUGGCAAAAACGGAUUGAUGAGAAAGCAGAGAAAUUUUAUGGUAGCAAAAGUAAAAGUAAAAUUAAGACUUAUAUCGUCGAGCUAAAGGAAAGAUAUUUUGCUCAAACCCCAAAAAAAAAAAGAAAAAAAAAAGAAAGAUAUUUUGGGUUUGGAAAUGGUAGCUUUGGUUGUUUUGAAAGAUAACCCCACCAAUGGUUUUAGCACAGUAGAGGGCUGAAUUGGAAUCAAACACCAUAAAUUGCCUAUCCAACUGCCAUGUCAGCACUAUCUAGAUCAACUGAAUGAGUGGUUGUGUGGGUGCAAACGCGCAACACAAACCAUCUCCACAUCCUCAUUUCAGAAUUAUCUCAUUUUUUUUUCUUACAACAAAAAACCAGAAAAAAUAAAUAAAUUUAAACAAACCACCCAAAUUGCAUCAUUUUCCCAUUUCAUUAGCCUCUCUCAGAUCAGAACUAGAGAGUUUACAUCCUGGUAAGAGGUUGAGUUGCCAUGGCUUCAGCUUCCUCCAAUUCACUAUCAAUCUCACCCUCAUCCACCCUCGUGGAUGCCAAAGCUCCUCGUCAACCAACUGCUGCAUCCCCACAAUGUGUCACUCUUCCUACUCUUCCUCCCCCACCCGUUCAGUCCCAGAGUCGUCCCUGGAAGACCACUGCCUACUGUAAGUUCAUAGACUAUCUAUAUCACACACUUGACAUGCAUCAACUAGUAUACCAAAUGGUCUUUCCACUUUUUGCAGGUCGCAAGAUUGCUCGAAAUGUGAUGGCUAUGGCCACUGGUGAGACUUUGGCCACGCGUGAAGCUCCAACCGAAGUUACCCCAACUGAGCUGACAGAGUUUAUCAACAAAAUACAAGAAACCGUAAGAAUCUCGUCUCACGUAUUGUUCAUUUCCCUGUUUUUGUACCUUCUCACAACACACGCAUGUGGUUGGUUUUUAGUGGGAUAAAGUUGAGGACAAGUACGCAGUGAGUUCACUUGCUGUAGCAGGUCUUGUUUUGGUCUGGGGUACUGCUGGAAUGGUCUCGGUGAGAUUCAAAAUAUGCAGAUUGUCUUAAGCCUUAAACAUUAUACUAGAAAAAGUUGAAACACCGACAAUUAAAUUAGUGAAACGGAUAUCCUCUGUUACAGGCAAUUGAUAAGCUUCCUGUGGUUUCCACAUUUCUUGAGGUCGUGGGUAUUGGCUACACUGGGGUAUGCUGAACUCAAUUAUCAAAGCUUUUACAUUCAGAAAUUCCCAUUUUCUUAGGCAUUUUGUGUUCUCUUAUUGCAGUGGUUUGCAUACAAAAACCUUAUUUUCAAGCCAGACAGGUAAGCUCAACUUAAUCUCUUGGUUCCAAUUCAUCGCAUUACAUAUUUACAUGUAAUUGUAAAAGAAAUCCCAUUUUAGUGAUGAGUUUUCUCUCAUCCUAAUUAAAAAUUUAGGGCCGCUCUGAUAAGCAAAAUAAAAGACACAUACAAAGAAAUACUUGGAACCAGCUAGAGGGAAACUGGGCAGUUGUUAAUAAAGGAUGGUGCUGAGAUGAGGCGAAGACGAGAAUAUACCUGAAGCCCAAUACUUGCAGCACUUGCUUCAGUUUGUCAGUACAAAGUUCUAACAAAAGUAAACCGAUGUGAUGUGGUCUUGUGGUGGGCUUAUAUAUUUUUAUAUUUUCCCCUAUGUGUAGAAUAAAAAGAAUCUUGAUUGCUCCCUCACCUUCUUGAGAUAACUUUGUAAACUUUUGAAAUGAUUUUAAUAUCCUCUUCAUUUGAAUUUUGAUAUAAUUUCAGUAACUUAAGAUACAAUUAUUCAUAUACCCCCAAAACAUAAAUUCAAGCAAAGAUUAUGUCAGAUGGCUUAUCUACCUUUAGACAAAAUGCACUCAGUCACAUAAUCCCUAGAGGCGAGACUUACACGCAAUGGAUUAAAAUUUCUGAAUAGCACUUUAGACAUUGGAUCCAAGGUUACAUAUAAAUUUGGUAGGAAUACUAAAUCUAUAGGAGUACUAUGAAUUAAAUCUUUAUUUCUGGUAACGCAUAUAAUGGUACUUAAAAAGACAUAAAGACGAAGGAUUGGGUGUUCUUAAAUUUUAAACAUGUCUAAACAUGUUUCAGAAUUGAGACCCCGUUUCCAGAAGCUGUGGUAGUAUUCACUGUAUGAAAAGUUCCUGUAUAAGGGAGGAUGAUGGAGGGGGUCGAUUAGUUUCGGAGCUGGUCCCAUCACGGCGUCGGUUGAUGGGCAAUAGAACGUUGGAAUGGAGAUCCUCUCUUCCUUGCAAUUCACCACUGCCCGAUGAAGCACGCUUUUAUAACUAUCAUUGCUCAGUACCUGGUAUUUGAUCUACAUAAUUAGUUUAUACAACCACUUGGAACAACUGGGGCUGACCUUGUGGAAUUUCAUAAUUUAUAUAUAGCCAUCUAAAAUUCUAGAUUAUCAAGUUGAAAAACCAACCACCCAUGUAUUUAACUUUUACAAUAAAAAAUGGAGGAAAAGUGAUUACAAAAGCUACAUGGGUCUUCAAGUGAAUUUAAAAUGUAGGUCAAAGUUUUUGUAAACGUUAUUUAAAGCAAUAAUAUUUCAUCAAUUAGGUCCUUUCUUCGGCUAGCGAAUGUUAACUCAAAUAUGAGGUGGAAAACAUCUAAAACACUGUAGAUAUUAUUAUUAAUAUUUGUGUAUCUACUUCAUAGAUAGUUUGAAGAUUAUUUGUUAAAAAUAAUAUCCUCCUAAAUUUAAUGACAUUACAAUUUUUUCAAAAAUAAAUGUUAGAUCUAAGAUGUCCAUGUUAUAGUAUACAUACGAGUUUAUAAUUUAAUCCAUGUCAAAUCUAAAAUAACAUUUAAUGCCUAAAUCGUCGAUUAAAAUGACAAAAAGAACUAAUUAAUAUGAUAUUGAUAUUUUGAAAACUUAAUUAUAACAUUUUUAAAUUUAAAAAUCGAUUUAAAUUUUGAGCAAUAAUUUAGGAAUGUUAGGUGCAGUUAAUCUUUAAUAUUAUAUUAAAAUGCAUAUGAUUGUUUCCCAGAAAAUUCCUGUCUUUUACACUCUCCAUUUAAAAUGUAUAAUUGACUAAGCUUUAUGACUAUAUUGUACUAGGUUUGGUAAUAAUGAUGACCAAUUAAGCAUAAAAAGAAACUGGUAAUUAAUUAGUGGUGCAGUGGCAAAUUUUAAGACUUCCCAUAUAUGUAGUAAUCCUCUAACCUGUAUCUGAUCACCGAUAUUGACAAUGAAGGUGUAGGGAAUGGGGUUGACAGCAAUCCACUUUCCAUCUUUGAGCACUUGCAGACCAGGCACCUCGUCUUGAAGGAGAAUGGUAAUAGCAUUAGGAUCUGCAUGAACAGGCAACCCAUAGGUGAGCUCUGGCUCGGGACACGGUGGGUAGUAGUUGAUAGCCAUGUGCUGUGCAUGCUUUCCAAGUGCUGAAUUGAUGUAAUCCCUUUCUAGAUCUAAGCUUUCUGAUAUUGCUUCAAGCAGUCUCACUGCCAGCCUUCUGGUGAUCUUGCAGUACUCAGAAGUAUCUUCUCUGUGAAAUAAUUGAAAACGACAUAUAAACUAAAACCCUUGAAGAUCUAGGUAAUAAUUAAUUAAUAAACAUAUUGUGAAACCUGAAAGAUGGAGGGUUGGUUGGCCAUUCAUGAACAUAGUCUUCCAAAGGGUAGCAAUGGAGUCUCAAGUAAUCCCUCCAGCUUGAUACAUUCUCAGUUCUCACAUUAAAACUCGUAGAAAGUCUCGUGGUCUUCAUAGGGUCAUCAGAAUAAUUCUUCAAUCGCUCACUCUCCGGUAAAUGGAAGAAUUGUUUCGAGACAUGCAACAUCUUACCGAUCACCUCUUUCGAAACGCCAUGGUUUUUAACCUUCACACAGAUUAACGUUACUGCUCAACCCUUUUUCUUUACAGAAAAGUAAAUUGGGAGUGCAGGCAGAAACUGAGUUAUCAUUUAUAUAUAUAUGUAUAUAUCCAUUCAUACCUGAAAGAAACCAUAAUUUCGGCAGGCAUCGCCGAUGGCUCUGACAACGGUAGAGCGAUUGGGGCCAUCAUCAAAGUGCUGGAGAUCAACGAGAGGUAUGGAAUGAUCAAAGGUAACCUCAUCGACGUUUGGACGAUCUGACUCAGGUCAAAUGAAAUUUUGAGGAAUGGAACUCACAGUUGAUACAAGGUCGGUUAAUAGCGGCUUCAUUGGAGGAUUAAUGGAAGUUGAAGAUAACACUUGUUUUUAUCUUUGCCUAAUAAUUAGUUGAAUUUGUGCGAUGGUGUUGCUGAUGGUAAACAAACUAAUUUAUAGAGGCCUGUGGCUUAGAAAUCAUCAAAAUGAUGUCGUUGUUAUGAAUAUUUUAUUUAGUAUAUUUUAAAUUCUAAUAGUUAUUAAAAUUAGAUCUCUAUUUCUUUUAUAAUUCUUAUAUCUAUUUCUUUUAUAAUUCUUAUACCUAUAAAUAAAGGCUCUAAUGAAGCAUUGUAAAUCUUUCAUUUUGAUCAAUAAAGUACCUUCUCUAUUGCUUUCAUAUUUUUUUUUGUUCUUUAUUCACCUCAUCUCUAUUUAUUUUAUAACACGUUAUCAGCUUUCAAACUCGUCCCCCAAAUCCAAUUCCUCUUUCAUCUUAAACUUUCACUCUUACAACUUCAUCUGCAGGAUGUUGAAAGAUUCAAUCUCAUAAUGGAUCAUGGUGAUGACGAUGAUAUUAAAGGUCUUCAUAUAUAUUUUAUUUAUUAUAUCAUGUUUAUUAUAAUUGGAGACUGAUCAUGACAACAUGAAUAGAUAGAUUUUAAUUUAAAAUCUAUGUAUGUUUGUGAUGGUGAUUAUGAAAUAAACAAUCUAUUGGGACGUUUAUAAGUUCGUCCUAGUAAACCUAUUGCUUUCAUCAAAGUGAAUGUAAACAUAAAGAAAAUAAAAGAUAUACUCAUAGACCACUAAAAGUGGGAACAUAUUAAUAAAUAAAAGAACAAUGAGAGUUUUCAAUAUAACUUUUCAAAGAGUAAAGAUAACUUUUGUUAUCAAUGUGAUAUGAAAAGAUUACUAGCCACAUGGCAUAUGCCUAAAUAUUUUGUUUCUAUUAAGGCUCUGUUUGUUUCAUUGAAAAUGUCUUCCGGAAAAUAAUUUCUGGAAAAUGAUUUAUUUUUCUGGAAAAACAAAUAUUUUCUGGUAUUUGAAUGAAUUUGUGUAAAAUAUUUUCUGUUGUUUGGUAGAUUUCUUAAAAAUAUUUCAUAAAAGUUGUUUUCAAUUGAACAAACAUAUAUUUAAGAUUUUCUUAUUUUUUCAUUGUUUAAUUGAAUUUAUUUUUAUCUAUAAUUUUAUAUUUACAUUGUAUUUACAUAUAUUAAAAAUAUUAUGCUAAAUUUAGAUUCAUUAUAACGUCAUUAAUUACAUGACUACUAAGUGGAUAUUUUUAUUUAAAAAUGUGACAUAAACAAAAUUGACAAAAAAAAUUAACGAUGUCAACAAUUAGACUUAAUUUUCAAAUUUGAAAAGUAAAUGGACUAAAUUCUUGAAAAUAAAAGUACAAAGACAAAAUUACAAAUAUGUGAACUGUACAUAGACUUAUAACAUAUUUUAACCUUUAUAUUACAAAACAUUUAUUAUUAAUAUAUUUAUAAUUAUAAUAAAUAUUUAUUAUUAAAAUAUUAAUAUUGAAUAUUUUUAAUAAUAUGUGAAUAAUAUUAUUUAAAAUUAUUAUUUUUAAAAUUUAUUAUUAAAAUAAAAUUGAAAUAUUUAAAUAAUUUAUUAAAAUAAUAAUUUAUAUUUAUUAUAUUAAUAAUUUAUUAUACUACUAAAUAUAAAUAAUUAAAUAUGUAUGUUUAAUAAUAUUGAAAAAUAUAAUAUUUUAAAUAUUUUUAAAAAUAAAAAUAAAAUUUAUUAUCAAUAUAAUAAUAUUAAGCUUGAUUUAAGUUAAUUUUUAUAUAAAAAUAAAAUUAUCUAUAGAUGAGCUCUUUUCCGGAAAAUGACUAACGCUUUUCAAAAGGGUAAGUCAUUUUACAAGAAAAGGGGCUUAUUUUACCUUGACUUGGAAAUCAUUUUCCGUUGACCAAACUAUUUUCUGUGAAACAAACACACGAAAAUGCAGAAAACAUUUUCCGUAAAACCUUUUAUAUGUAAACAAACGGAUCCUAAUAUUCUUUAAGGAAGAUAUGAAAAUGUAGAAAUGAAUUCUAUAAUUACAAAUAGAAAAUAUUUAACUUAUUUGGUACUGAAACAAACAAAUAUUAUUCCAAUAUUUGAUAGUACAAAAUUAGUUGAAAGCUCCAGAAGAGCUAAUAUGUCACUAUCUAAAAAGCACAAAAUUUGUGAUGGUUAAUGCUUUACUUUUAAAAGUUCUUUGUAAUGGAUCUCAUAUUGAGAUUGUGAAUGAGGAAAAUAUUAUAUUUCAUAUGAAUAAUGUAACAGCCUAAUUUUCAGUGGUAUCGGGAAUAGAGAUUUGAGAUCACCAAAUCCGACGGGCGAGUUAAAAAUUUAAUAAAUUAAUACCUAUGAGUCAAAUGCGAAUAUAAAAGUAUUUUUGAAUUAGUGAAUUUGGUGAUUUAAAAGAAUUAAUUAGGUAAAUUGGGUCAAGAAUGAGGUAUCGAGACCUCAACUUCAUAAAUCGAGCCAUAAAUAUUUUUGAAAUAUUUAUGGAGUGUUGGUGAGGUAGUAUUAAAAUUUAGUCAGAAAAUUUUGACGUUUGGGUGGUUAAUUAAAUAAAAAGGACUAAAUUGAAAAGGGUGUAAAAGUUGCUAGAAGGAUUAAAUAGCUCAAUUAUCAAAUGAGGAAGGACCUAAAGUGAAAAUAGUCCUAAAGGAGAUAUUUUGGGCGGCAAUAGCUGAGAAAAAUCAGGAAAUGGAUGAAAUAAGGGCAAAAUUGGAAAAUUGCCAAAAUUGGCUAAAUAAAAAUGGGACUAAAUUGGAAUAUCUAAAAUUCUCUUCAUUUCUCUUCAUAUUCAUCAGCUGAAAAACAGCCAUGGAGGAGGGUUCAAGCUGGUUUUCAUACUCUAGCUUCAUGUAAGUUUAAUUCUUGCUUUCUCCUUGAAAUUUUUAUGUUUUUGUGACUUUUACAACUAGGUCCACUUGUUGAAUUCAUUAGUUUUUGAUUCUAUGAAAGAAAUUGAAAGUUGAUAUGAAUAUGUGCUGGAAGUAUAUGAUGAUUUGGAAUGGAAUUAGAGCUUUAAAUUAUUUAUAUGCUGAUUUUAUUGAAAGAAUUGAAUAGAAAGUGAAUGUUUGGGACCUAAUUGUAAAAGAGUUUGAAGUUAGAGUUUCAUAUGGAAAUUAUGAAUUUAAAUAGUUAUGAAAUAACUUAUAAUGUCUAGAAAAAGUAUUAAUUUAGAAAGUUAUCUUAAUUGAGGGGUUAAUUGAGUAAGGACUGAAUUGUAUGAAUUGUGAAAUUUGGGGCAAAAUGAAAAUCAACAUUUUGCACUAAAACUGUUUUAGACAGCAGCAGUAGUCUAACUCUGAAAAAUCACCAAAAAUUAUAGAAAUCGAAUUAUAGGAUGAAUAAAAUAUGAAAUUAAAGCUUAUUGAGUCUAGUUUCUUAUAAAAGAAAUUAUGUAAGCAAUAGAAUUGUAAAUCUUGAGAUACAAUAACUUUUGUGAGACAAGGUCAGAAUGAUUUCGAGUUCCCCUGUUCUGACUUUGGAAAAUCAUAAAAAAUUGGAUAAAAUUAAUUAUGGGCUUAAAUUUAUAUUUUUAGAAUCCUGAAUGAGUCUAUUUUCAAGAGAAACAAACGAGGACAUCAUUCGAAUGCUGUACAAGAAGAUAAUUAAUUUUUAGUGAAGAAGGGUCGGAACUGUCAGACAGCAGAAUAGGGGAGACUUUAAUGAAUAAAAUGUAUUAAUUGGCCCAACCAAAAAUUAUGAAAUUUUUAUGGUAAGAAGGUAUAUGAGUCUAGUUUCAGGGAAAAUUAUAGGAUCUUAAUUUGGAGUUCUGUAGCUCAAGAUAAAAAUAAUUUAGUGACUAUGACACAGAUGGACAGCUUGAAUAUUCACAUAAGUAGAUAGUGAAAAUUAUGGAUAAUGUUACCUACAAGUGUGUUGUUUAUACUAAGGAUGUGGAAUGGAGAUAAGGAGGAAAAAUAUGUAUGAAUAUUCAGCUAGCAUGGCUAAUUUGUAUGUUUUUGGCUCAAGGACUAAAUUGAAUAAAAGUAAAACUUUAUGGGUAAUUUUGUAAAAAUGUCAAAAAUGACUAAAUUGAAAGGAAUGAAUUGUUUUAUUAUCUAAAUUAAUAAAUUGAAUGAAAUUAUCAAUUUAAGAUUGGGUGAAAUUUGGGAAUAUGGUAAAUCACCAAUAUGCCCCUAAAUCUUGGUAUUUUUGCAAUUUAGUCAGGUAGGUUCGUAUAUCCUGCAUGAGCAUGUAAAUAUGAAAAUUUAAGUAUUGUAUCGUACUUUAUAUGAUAUUUUUUUGAAUAUAUGAAAAGAAUGUUACAUGAAACAUGAAAAUGAAUACUAAAUAAUAUAAAUUAAUUGAAAUUAUUCUGAAAAUCUCGGUAAUGCCUCGUAUCCUAUCCCGAUCUCAAGUACGGGUAUGGGGUAUUACAAAUAAAAAAGGAUUGGGUUAUUAAUUUAUAUUUAUUUUAUAAUCUUUGUGAUAAUCUUUUGUCAUCAUCCCUAUUAAAGGGUUGAAAGCAAAAUAUUUGACAGUGAAAUAUCUACUUAUGAGCGAUAGAAUAUGAUAAUUCUAUCUAAAGUUUAUUAUGGUUGGAUGCACCUAAAGUUGCAAGUUUUUUUUUUGAAAACUAUGAGUGUAACUCUACAGUAUUCAGAAUAAGUUCUCAAUUAAAAUUAUGUGGUAAAAUAUUAUUGACGAGAACUUGUAAGAGAGAAACUUAUGUAUGAAAAGUUAUUGGUUAUGUAUCUGUUGUACACCUGGAAAAUAAGGUUCACUCUCAAAGUUUUCUAUUAAUAGAGUUUUGGGCAUUUGAAUAUUUUGGCAUAUUCCUGAAGCGAAUAUUGCAUAUAAUUAUUUGAAAAUUAUAUUUAUUGACCUGGUGACAUUAUAGACUUCACAUUGAUUUAGACAUUUUUAGUAGUAAAUGUCACAAUAAUACUUAUAUGUAGAUACAAAUUAAAAGGAAUGAUGAUAAAAUUAUUAAUUUGUUACAAUUUAGUACAGUUAAAACACAUGUUAAAGUAAACCAUAAGUUUACUAAUAAAAAUACGUUUACUACUUGACGUGACCAGUUAGAUCAUCUUGGAUCGUAUAUGAUGUGAAAAUUAAUUGAGAAUUUAUAUGGACAUCUAUUAAAGAUGUAAUGGCCCAAAUUUGAGGUUAUCGGACCAGUGGUUUCGGAACCACAAAUCCGAUGAGAAAAAUUUUAUUUUUAUUGUAUUUUUAUGAUCUACAAUUUCACAAAAUGAUUUUUUGAAAAUUUCGUUCGAAAAUUUUGACGUUUGGGCACUCAAUUUAGUCAAAAGGACUAAAUUGUAAAAAGUGCAAAAGUUGAGUUCUACAUGUUAGAGGUGUCCAAUUGUUAUGAAACUUUAAAUUAGAGGUCCUUAUAUGGUAAUUAUACCAUUGGUAACUUGGUAGACAAAAAUGGACAUGAGAUAAGUGAAAUAGAAAAUUUUUAAGUUAGGGGCAAUUUGGUAAUCUAGUAAUUAAAAUGAAUUAAAAGGGAAAAAGAUGGCAAAAAUCAUCAUCUUCUUCAUAUGAACGAAAUCAGCAAGGGGGGAAGCCAUAGUUAGGGUUUUCAAGCUUCCAAGCUCCAUAGUAAGUGAUCCCAAGCCCCGUUUUUAAUGUUCUUUACGUUUUUGAGAUCCCGGUAGCUUAAUUUAGCUUAUUCUAGCAAUAAUUUAACCUAGGGUUUAUAUUUGGAAAAAUACCCAUAGGUGAAAAGUGUUUAUUUUGAUGUUUUAUGAUAGAAUAUAAAGCUAGAAAUUAUGUUAAACAACUUUUGCUAAGCGAUUUUAAGUGAAAACGAGUAAAACGACAUAAUCGGUAAAAAUACCUAAUGUUCAUAAGUACAUGUUAGAGUGGGAAUUUGAUGUUGCCAUAGAAGGGAAAAAUGUUCAGAAUGUUAUAAAACAUAAGAAUAAGAGAUGAAGUUUAAUUUCCGAGCCUUGGGGCAAAAAUGUAAUUAUGUAAAAGUUUAGGGGCAAAAUUGUAAUUUUGAAAAAGUUAGAGUCGAGGGCUGUUUUGAUGAAUGUGAUUAUUAAAUAAGUUAAAUUUACUAUUUUAGAUCAAGAAGUACGAAACUCGAGGUUAGACAAAGGGAAGAAUAAAGUUAAAGACUAAGUUGGUGAAUUUGGCUAUAAUUGGUACCGAUGUAAGUUUACGGUAAAUAAAUGGAAUAUUUCAAUAUUUAUUAUUAAUGCUGUUAAUUUCCAGCAAUUAUGAAUUUAUUUUAUGAAUUUAUUUGAUGAUGAUCCAAGCAUGAAAUGAUAGAGAAUUAAAAUUUAAAAGUCCCGUUGAUACAUAAGGAUGGUACUGGAUACGAAUGUCAUGACAUUUGGGUAAAGAGAUCCCAUGUAAGACCAUGUCUGGGACAUGGCAUUGGCAUCCUUAAGAUCAUGAGAGGUCCCCUGUAAGACCAUGUCUGGGACAUGGCAUGGGCACCGAGACGAGAGGUCCCAUGUAAGACCAUGUCUGGGACAUGGCGUUGGCACCGAGAUGAGAGGUCCCCUAUAAGACCAUGUCUGGGACAUGGCAUGGGCACCAUCACGAGAACAUCCCAUGUAAGACCAUGUCUGGGACAUGGCUUUGGCAUGUUAUUAUCAGAAGAGACCCGAGUAUCCUUAUUAUUCCAAUGUAGCUCAACGGGCUUGUAAACGAAUCAUGUUCAUGAAAGUUCAGUUUAAAGCAUAAAUGGCAAGCUCAGGUAAGUUGUAAGACUUAAGAACUUAUUAUACUAUCAAUUGAUGUUCAACGAUGCAGCAAGGAUUGAGUAAGUUAUGCACACAAGUAUUCUAAGUAAACAAGUAAGAGAACUAGUAUGAGAUUAACUAAAGAGUAAACUAGAGAUAUAGACAUUGAGUUUAAUUAUUUAAGUUAAAUAUUGUUAUUUAUUUGCUAGUAAACUUACUAAGCUUUAUGCUUACUUCUUUUAUUUCUCUUUCUCUUAUAGUAUUGCAAAGCUACUUCAAGGAUCCUAAAGAAGUCGGAGAUCGUCCACACUAUCAACUACAACUGCUCGGUAUUUUAUAUCGAAACACGUUUGAGUUAUGGCAUGUAUAGGGAUUUAGUUAUUUUGUAUGUUUGUAAUGAUGAUUUUGCUAAUGAGUGAUGUGUAAGUAUUUGAUGAUGUAUGAUUAUUAAAAUGAUUAAGGAUGAAGGUGUUUGUUGUUAUGAAAGAUUAGGUGAUAAAUUAUGCAUGGAAAUCAUGAAAGGAUAAAAUUUUGCAAAGAAACAGAAUUCAGGCAGCACAGUGACGUGAAUUUGAAAAAUCACCCAAGAUAGUAUAAAAUGAAUUAUAGGGUGAAUGAUAUAUGGAAUUAAAGCUUGUUGAGUCUAUUUUCAUGGAAAAAUAACGGUGUAGAAAAAGGAAAUUUAUAUUUUAAGAUAUGUGAAUUUUAGUAAGAUAGGGUCAGAACUGUUUUUGGAGUCCCCUGUUCUGAGUUUAGAAAAUAAUUACAAAUUGUACAAAAAUGGUUAUGAGUUGAAAUUUACAUGCUUAGAUUUAUUAAUGAGUCUAUUUUUUGUUGAAACAAGUAAGAACUUCAUAUGAAAAUCCUACAGUGAGAAAACUUAUUUUUAGUGACUAGAGGUCAGGGCAGUCAGGUGGUGAAACAGGGGAGAAUUUAACUAAUAAACUGUACUAAUUUGCUGAACCAAAAAUUCUAAAAAUUUUAUUGUGAGUAGAUAUAUGAGUCUAGUUUCAGGGAAAAUUUACGGAAUUAAAUUUCGAGUUCUGUAGCUCAAGUUAUAAUUAAUUUAGUAACUACUGCGCGAUUGGACAGAUUUGCUGCAAAUAAUGAAAUAAAUUUUCAAACCUAGUUUUUAUGCUCCGAAUUGGUAAGAUAAGCUAAGUAAUGCCUCGUGCUCGACUCCGGAAACGGUCUCGGGUAAGGGGUGUUACAAAAGAACCGUAAUUUUUUUAAUUUAAAAGAAUUCUCAUAUGUUGCUUGUUCUCAAUAAAAAUUGAUUAUUAGAAACUCACUAGCUAAAGUUGAGAUUUAAUGUCUUGUAUUUCUGAAACAAAUAUGGGCCCAUUCAUCCACCAUGUGGAUAGUUUUGAUAUUAUAUGAUUUUAGCAGAUGCAUCUACAAAAUAAUCACAUAUGUGUUAUCAAUUUGCAACAUGUCGUUUGCAAGAUUGCUUGCUUAAAUAAUUAAUUUCAGAUUAUGCAAUGAAAACAAUUCAUCUUGCUAAUGUUGGUGAGUUUACAUCCCAAGUUUUCAAUGAUUAUUGCAUGUCAAUUGGGAUAAAAGUUAAACAUCCUAUAGCUCAUGUUCACACACAAAAUAAUUUAGCUGAAUUGUUUAUCAAAUGCCUCCAACUAAGAGUUAAAUCAUUACUUAUGAGAACUAAACUUUUUAUUUCAACAUGAGGUUAUAUUUAUUUAUAUGUUGUACGCAUCAAACCAAUAAGUUAUAAAUACUCCCAUGACAAUUGGUUUUUGAUCAAGAGAUAAAAGUUUUUCAUCUUUAAAUUUUUGUAGGUUUGUAUAUAUUCCAAUUGUUCCACCACAACAGAUAAAGAUGAGUGAAUCUUUAAAGAAAGUUGGAAAUAUAUAUUAAUUACAAGUUUCUUUAUAUUAUUAGAUGUUUUGAAUGUAUUCGAGCUUCAAUUAUGACAUGAUUUGUGAUUACAAUUUUGAUUCGAUAGUUUUCCCGACAUUAGAGGGAGAGAAAUAGUAACUUGUAAUGAGUUAGGGGGAGAAUAAUUUGAACCAGAGAUUCAAUAAGGAUAACUCAUUACAAGUUAACUGUUAGAUGUAUUUACAAACUUAAUGAGAAAAACCAAUUGUUAUAUAUCAUCUAAUAUUUUAAUUUGAAUCAAAGUCCCAGUAGGACAAUCAGUUAAAAUAAAUAAUAGAUUGAUCGGUUCCAAAGAUGAAAAUUCAAAACAUAACUAAUAAGUAAAAUUCAGAUUCAGGUACCUGAAACUAAAUUUAAAAAUAAUGAAAAUAAGAAAUCUCGAUAAGUUAUGUCAAUUUGAGAAAAUGUGGAACCAAAUAAUAAAAGUAGUUGACAAUAAUUUUGCAUGUAAUAUUAUUAUUGAAAUAAUGAAAUAAAAGGAGGAUCUUGAAUAAAUCUAUUGAGAAAUAUAAAUAUGGAAUAAAUCAAAAUAGAAAGACGCAACUCAAUGACAAUUAAAUUCGUGAAGUUUUUGGGCCAGUAAUCCAAAUAUCUAAAGGUAUAAAGCUAAUGAAUGUGCAAUUGAAGUAGUUUUACAAAAGCAGAAUAUGAAGUUUUUCGAUAAAUCUUGGCAUUGGUUAUGAAAAGAUAUAAUAUAAUUUUGUAGUAGAUGCAAUAAUCUUUAGAUAUAUUAUUAAACUAACAAUUAAUAAAAGAUUUAACUUGCGUCUAAUUGUUAUUGUUACAAAAAUCCUUGAAGGAUUUAGGAUGCUAGAAGCAUAUUCAAAUUCUCGAUAAAUUGUUCAUUUAUAUAAAUUAAAAUAAUUUGAACAUAUGUGGUAAAUUUGACUUAGUGAAUAGUAGUUAAAGAAUGAUUAUAAAGUGAACCAAAAUACCUAUUUGUGUUUUUAGAAAUGAAUCAUGAUUAAAGUUUGUUAUGAUUAUUGUUGAAUCUCCUGAACAGAUCAAAAUAUAUUCCCCAAAUUUCCCUCACUCAUGACUUUUAAAAGAAUGGUAAUAUAAAUGUUUAGCAAUUACAUUCAAAUUGUCAUUUUAAAAACUAGAAUUCAAGAUUGAAUACGUAGAAUAUGGGAAAAUAUGUGAUGUUUUCAUAAGGGGGAAUAAAUAGGCGUUGCACUCUUUUUCCCUUAAUCUAGGUUUUGUCCCAUUGGAUUUUCCUAAUAAGGUUUUUAAUGAAGCAGCAUAUUAUGCAUAUAUUAUAGAUUGUGUACUCUUUUUCCUUCAUUAGGUUUUUAUCUCACAGGAUUUUUCCUUAUAAGGUUUUAACAAGCACAUUAUCUACCAAUGGACAUCUAAGGGGGAGUGUUAUGAAUAUCUUAUUAAGUGGAUGUCAAUCAUGAUCAAGAUAAAAUUUUGGUGUACUUUAAAUUCUAAUAGUUAUUAGAAUUAAAUCUCUACUUCUUUUAUACUUAUUAUGCUUAUAAAUAAAUAAUUUGAUGAAGCAUUGUAAAUCAUCUCUUUUGAUCAAUAAAGUACAUUCUCUAUUGCUUUCAUAUUUUUUUUUGUUUUUUAUUCUACCCAUCUCUCUUUAUUUUAUAACAGUCUUAAAAUUUUGGUAGGGGUUUUGUCAUUUUUUGCUCUUUUUUUGAAAAAUGGAAAUAAUAAUUAAGACAGACAGAUCUAAAUAAAUUAUCUCUUUUGUUAUUUUGAGGGGUAAGCGUUCGAUCAAAUCGAAUGAAAAUUUUUUGAGUUAAUCGAGUUAAUGAAUCCUAUUUUAUUAUCAUAACUCGAUUUGAAAUUUUCUUGAAUCGAGUCGAGUGAGAUGGAAUUCAAAUCGAAUCAAAUCAAAUAUAUUUGUUCGAGCUAACUUAAAAAAAUGACUUUGGAUACUUGUAGUCACUGCCACCACUGUAAUCAAGUUUGUUCGCCGUAAUUAAAUUUUUUAUUAACUUUGAUUCUCUCAUAAUUUAUUUAUUAAUAUUUUUAUAUACGAGUUAGCUUCUUUGUUUAUUUAGUUGUUUCAAAAUAUAUAUUAACUGUAAAAAAUGUGAUUUUUUUUAAUAAAAGUUAUCCUAAAAAUAAAAUGUGAAAUUGAUAUCAACCGAAAAUUUUAAUACAAAUAUUUGAUGAUAUUAUCAAUAAUUUAAUUUUAACAGAAAAUGAUAAAGAUUCAGUAUGAUUAACCAAUUCAAUAAUAUAAAUAAUACAAAAUGUGAAAUUUAAUUCAAUAAUGUAAAUAGUAAACAUAAAUUCAAAAAAAAAGAAGUUUUUGGGGAUUGAAAGGAAGUAAAAGUUUUAGGGGAAAACAAAAGGAAAAAAUGUUUUUAGGGUUUGGGGGAAGUAAAAGUUGUGGGGGGAAAGUAAAAGAAAUUUUUUUUGGGGGGGGGGGGUUUGGGGAAAGUACAAUUUUUUGGAGGAAAAGUAAAAAGGGUUGAUAUUUGAUUUAUUUGAAUUAUGAGAAUUAUUUAAAUUCAAAAAUUCAACUUUAUUUAAACUCGAAAUUCGAAAAGAAUUUCAAGUUGAUUUGAUUAAUUUGAUUUGAAUAAUUCAAAAUUCGAAAAAAUUUUUCAUUUUCCGAAUCGAAUCGAAAUUUGCCCACUUUUAAUUGUCUCUAAAGAGCAAAGUUACAAAAUAAGAGUAGAUGAUUUGGUUGGAGGUGGUAUUUAAGAAAACUUCAUUUUGUAACUAUUGUAAAUUGAAAACAGAUAGUUUAUUUCAAAAAAAUAAAAUUAUAUAUAUAUUUAAAAAGUUUAUAUAAAUUAAAAAUCUUACCACACGAGUAUCUUUGUAGAAAUCAUGUAUUUAGAAUACAUAUGUAUGCUUAAAAAUAAAAUACAAUAAAUGAUAAAAAAGAAGUAUGAUUUUAAAACUAAUUAAUAAUAACAUAUCGAAUAUAUAUGAUACUAAAAUAAAAAACAAAAAUACCCAUAAUCAUAUUUUACUUUGCAAAUUAAAUGUUUUUUUGACAGUUCCGUAACUAAGUCGGGACUCGAUUAGGGGGUGACACCAACUCAGUGAAAGGCUAAAAUAAAUAGUAUGGAUAUACAAUUGAUAGAAGUAAUAAAAUGUGCAUAACAAAAUUAAAAUAUACUAGAAAUUCUAUCACGUGAAUGUGUGUGGAAACCACAAACUUAGAACACAAAUAUCUGUUUAAAAAUAACAUACAAUAAUUAAUGAAAUGUAUGGUUUGAAACGAAUUAACAAUAACACAUGAAAUAUUUACAUUAUUAAAACGAAAAAAAUUAAAUUAAAUUAUUUAUCAUGGUGUUGUCAUCAAUCUUGAGUCAGUGUCGAGUUAACUUGUGACACAACUCAAUCAAGUAUAUUAUUAAUAUAUAUAUAUAAUCGUUAAAAGUAAAAAAAAUGUGCACAAUAGAAUUAAAAUGUAUAAAAAUGUCUAAAAUAAAGCUUUAUUAAUGCAAUUGAUGUGGGUUCAAAUCCCACAAUAUGCAUAUUUUUUUUUGUUUUUUAAAGUGAAAAUAUGAAAAUACCCUUAAACAAUAUUACUUAUUUUAAUUAUGAAAGGACAUUCCUAUAAUUUUCCAAUUGAGUUGGUGACCCGGUUGAGGGUGACAUUAACUCAGUAAGGAGUUUUAUUAAUAUUAUAGAUAUACAACUAAUGGAAGUAAUAAAAUGUGAAUAAUAAAAUUAAAAUGUAUAAAAAUAUUAAAAGAAAGUUUUAGUUUAGUGGUAAAUUAAAUGUUUUAUUAAUUCAAUUGAUCAUUUUAUACAUAUGUUUUUUUUAAGUGAAAAAACUAAAAUACUCUUAAAUAAUAUUACUUAUUUUAAUAACGGAAGAAUAUCCCUAUAACUUCAUAAUUGAGUUGGUGACUGGUUGAGGGUGGUUUUAUUAAUAGUAUAGAAGUAAAUUAAAAUAAAUAUUUUGGUUGAAUGGUGAAUUUAGAGUUUUUCUACUGUAAUUAGCAUUGAUUUAAAUCUUACCAUAUGUAUAUUUAUAUUGUUUUUUAAUUAAAAAGACUAAAGUACCCUUGAACAAUAUACCUUAUUUUAAAAAUGAAAGGUCAUUUUUGUAAUUUCCUAAUCGGAGUUGGUGCCCGAUUAACUUGUAACACUAAAUCAGUUAAAGAUUUUAGUAAUAGUAUAGAUAAUUAAUUAGGUUUUUGUUGAAUAAUGAAAAACUAAAAAUGUAUGAGUUGAAAAUCUUAUUAUGCAUAUUUCUAUAUAUAAAAUAACAAAAACACUUUCAAAUACAACUAAUACAAUUUAGUUUAAAAAACUAUAGAUGUUGGAUUAAUAUAAAUCAUGUAUCGGUUAUCUAAUUUUUUUUAUACAUAAUUGGAACAAUCGAAAACUUUCAUACUUGAUCAAAAAUUAUUAGCAUCUGAAUUUAUUUUCACCAAUUAUCGUUUAAUGGUGCUUUUGAUUUUGAUUCUAUUUAUAAUAUCUUGAAAAAUAUAUUAUAAUUUUUUUUAAUUGAUUGAAGUGAGUUAAAAACUCCACUAAUUACUUAACUUUUAAUUAUUUUAGUAAAAAUAAAAAUAUAACAUACAAAUAUAGAAUUGGUCCAAAUUUAUUUUCAAAAUACUUAAGUCAUUUAUGAAUAUUUAAUUUGAUGGUAAAACAAAACUUUCAUUAUCAAAUUUUGAUUAAAGAAAAGCUUUAUUUUUUGCUCUUUUAUUCAAUGACAGCAAUUUUUAUCAACGGCCUAAGAAGAAAAUUAUUCGAACAAAUUAGAAAUCUUGACAUUACCAACAUUUCAACGUUGACAAAAGUAGAUUCAUUACUCUUAAAAAUACAUUCAAUGUUACAAAAUUUGCUCACCAAAAAGUUUUAUUCUCAAAUUUUUCAAGUUAAUUGUUUUUGCCGAUGGUAUUGUCAAUCGUCAAUGAUAUCCUCCAAUUUUUCCGUAAAUUUUGUCCACUAAAUAAUGGUAAUUUUGGUUUUUAAUUUUUUAUGAAACUUGUUAAAGUAAAGAUGUUGUAAGAUUUAUUAAGAAUUAUUCUCCAAACAACUCAUCAUGAUAAAAUAUAGUGAUAGUGUUUGUAAAAUUAAAAUGAAGGAUGAUAAAUUAUCUAAGACUUGGUUUUUUAUACAUCAUUGAUAUGGUGAGUCUUUUGACAGUUAUUUCUUUAUUAACUAGAGUUCAUCGUCAAAUUUUCUUGAUGAUAGCAAAACUAAAAUGCAAAUUUCAACACUUUUAAUAGAAGUGAUGUAUCUCUAAUUUAUUUUUAAAUUUUCUAAUAUUGUAAUUCCGGUCAAUUUAUCUUUUUUUUAUUUUGGAAAUAUUCUUCCAACAUAAAAUUUGUAAAAUCUUAUUUAUGUGUCAUGUGUUUAUACUUUUAUAAUUUAUAGAUAUUUUAUUUUAAGGAAACGUUGAGAAAAGUAGUAUAAUGAUAAUAGUGGAAACUCAGAAUGUUCAAAUUAAACAACAAUCUUCAUUUGUACAAGUCUUACGAGUUUUUUUUCUUUCUUUUCUUUUUGCCCAGAAGUCUUACGAGUUUAGGUACAACGCUUUAUACCUAAAAAAUCUUGUCAUUGUAAUUUUCUAAAGAGAUAUAGCUUUAUUUGUUUAUGAUCAGUAGUCAUAAGUCUUAAAAGUUGGGCGGUUUCGUUUCGUUUUGAGAUAUUGGUAAACCCGAUUUUGUUUGCAUCCAACACGUUCUACACAUGAAUUCUAAAAUUCAUACCAUUUUUAAGCAAUGAAUGAACAAGAACCGAACACAUGCAUGAUGCAUGUCGACCAUGACAACGAAUAGGGAUUCAUAGCCUGCUCGGCAGCUCCCAAGCCACUUGUUAACUUGGAUAUCUUCUAUCUUUAUAGUGACGGAAUUGUUUUGAUAUGAUUUCAGUUGUGUAAUGUGAAUGGCGAAAUGCAUUGUGGAGAGAGUAGGAAGAUCGAUACAGGGAAAAAGUCCAUAAUGGCUCUGACAAAAGCCAUUACUUACCAACUGAAAUUCCCAAUAAAAAACAAAUGAGGGUUUUGCAUCAGUGCUUACGUUUUACGAACUACGAAAGGGUUGCCCAGCUUUCUCCUUCAAGGGAUAACGUCAUGAUGCUUUCGUCAUCCAGAGCACGCGUCAUCUGUUCAGUUUGUAUCUACCAACCAACUGGAAGGGAGUGGUGAGUUUACAGUUCACAAUUUGUCAUUUGGGGUUGGUAGUUUUCGACUUACCAACAAAGUGCAUGAAUGAUUGAUUUCAAUUUGAAUGAAUUGGAUGGAGGGUGACGAAGCCAUCGAAGUGUUGAGUAAAAUUGUUCAUCCCUUGACAAACAAAAUUAUCGUAUGGAAGAAAGUGCUGCAAGAUAGUACAAAAACUUAGUUGGACGCAACUAUCAGUAUUGAUAAAUUUUGAUAAUAUUGAACUGGUCUGACUUAAAUUAAAAGUGAUAAACCUCGAGGAUAGUAUUUUGUGGGUGAGAACUGGAAUUGGAAAAAGAAAACCAAAGAUAUAGAAAUUAUAUGUGAAGUGGAAAUGAGAAAAUAAUAAAGUAAUACCCAGGAACAGGGUAAAAUAUAUUGGGUUAGUGGUCUUUUGAGAGGCAUGAUGUUAUAUUCCUUACAUUCCUUUUUAAAAUAAGAAAAUUUUCUUUUGAGUAAAAGUGAAAAAGCAAUAGAAAAGAAGAGAGAACAAGUCAAUAGAUUUAUCUCGUACACUUAAAUUUAGAAUUGAUCUCUUCAAUCAAAUAUUCAUAUAUCUCAUACACUUAAAUUUAGAGUUGAUCUCUUUAAUCGAACACUCGUAUAACUCUGAAAUUAAAGAAAAAAAGAUCAACAAUCAAAUCAACUUAGAUUCCUUCACCUUGGCAUGGCCUUAACCAUGAUUCCUACAUACUUAUAGGCUUGUUUGACCAUCAAAUAGUUCUGAAACUCCUGAUAUUCUUGUAAUAUGUACUGCCAUGUAACAAUCAAAUCAACUGAGAUUCCUUCAAAAGAUCAACAAAUUCAAGCCUUCUAAUGAUUCUUGCAAAAACAAGUAAUAAGGCUCAUGGUUGAUUCAUACUCAUUCAUUGGAACGUACUUACCAAACUUCAUCGACUAAUCGCAGAAACUUGGAAACCCUUCAUUUCUUUGACAAUAGCUAAACCUCAAACCCCUCCAAACUGCUUAAUAUCAAUAACGAACCUAGAUCACAUCUUAUUUCUAAAGAAGCUUUCCAACUAGCAAAGAUUCUUGUUGAUUUUUUUUUAUAUUUUUAUGUCCAUUUUACUAUCUAUAUUUGAUGUUUGUGAUUGUUUAUUCUAAAAUUUCCUCUUCAAAGUUUGAAAUUAGAGUUCUCUCUUUAGGAGUGUAAUGUGUCUUACCACUAUAACAUUCCAACUCUAACUUGUGAUGUCAAAUGCAACCACACACUUUAUUAUUAAUGUAGAAAUAAAUGAAAUUUUAGUUGAAACAAUAAAGUAGAGACGAUAAAAAUUAUAAUAUCUCAAAAUUUAAAUCCUACUAUUUAUAUAUGUUUUUUAAUAUAAAAAAAACCUUAAAUUAACAGUGUUUUAAUCAUUAUCUAUUUGUUUUUGCCAAAAUUUUUAUUUAAUUGAGUUCAACUUAAUUGUAUGGUAUAUAUAAUUAACUUUGUAAAGAAAACAAUAUAUAAUUACUUUUAGUUUUAAAAAUAUUAUUUUUCUAAAAAAACUAAUUAUAUAUCAUUCUCUUAAAAAAUUAUUAUAAGUAUUUAUUGCAUAGGUGAAAAUAGUAAAAUAUAAGUUUGAUUGAGUAGACUGUUAAAACUAGUGGUGGAUGGUUGGAAAAAACCACUAAGGUCAUACAGAGUAGUUGUUUGUUUUUGUGUGUGAAUUUUAAAUAAAAAAAUUUAUAAUUACUUUAUUUAAUUAUGGUUAAAUGGUAAUUUUAUAAAGGGUUUUUUUAGUUUCUCAAUUUAUUUAUUGGUGUGAGCCUAAUAAUUAAUCUUUCGCAUUUGGUAAGUCCAUUAAGGAGUAGAUAUUAACUGUAAACUUUAAAAUUGUUAUAUACUUAAGACAAGAUUCGAACCCUUGACUAUUAAUUAAAAAUAAUUUUUAUUAAUUUACCUAACUCCCGUAAUUAAUUUUAUAGUGUUUUGUUAAGUGGUGAUACCAAAUUCAUUUAAAAACUUUAGUAUAAUAAUUAAUGGCGUGUUAACUAAUUGAAUAAAAAAGCAGCGGUCCAAGUACGUUGGAGAUGUUACGUUAAUGGACUGCAUUCUCCGUGUUUGCUGUUGGCCCACUGGAUCCACCCUUGUUUUGUAUUAAUAGAUCCAUCAUCUUCUUUUAAUAAAAAGAAGAGAGAUUGUUUAAAUUAUGAAGGAGGAGAUAUAACUCCAAAAUGCAAUAUUUUGUGGAUUGGAAAAAGGAAAAUAUUAAGGCAGUUUUCCUAACUAGUUACUGGCAUAUGGGAUGGGAGCACCAGAGAAAUAAGAAAGAAAAUUAGAAUGUUAUCUAAAGCUCUCAACACCUUGUUUCUCCAGUUUAUACCUCAAAUAUUUCUUUUUAGUUACAAUUUAUAAUCCAAUUAUAUUCAGAUUUACACAAUCUUUGAUUUCAACUUUCUUUCUGCACAAAUUUAAUAUUAUUUAAUAACUGAUAUAUAUUUUUAAUUUUGGAUAUAGUCAAAUUUUGAAUUUAGUAUUUUCACUUUAAUUUAAUUAAUUUUAAUUUUUGUAUUUUUUAAAAUUUUAAAUUUUAAUCAUGACCUAAUGAUAACGGUUAAAUUUGUUUGGUCACCUUAUGUUAUUAGUCUUGAAUUAUGCGUAAAAUUAUAGAUUUAAUCUAGGUUCAUUAAUUGAACCAUCCUUAGUGAUUAUAUAUAUAUAUAUAUUUCAAAAUUUUAAUCUUAAUAUAAAUGACCAUCGUUAAAUCUAUUAAAUAUUUUUUUUGUAAGUAAUAUGUGAAAAUAAUAAACAAACGUAGCAUUACACAGGUGAUAAUAUGUUUGAGAUAUUAAAUUUUAAAAAUAAUAAAACUUAAUAAAUUUAAUAAUUAAUUUUUCAUUAUAAUUAAAUUAUUAAAUUUUAAAAAUAUACGAAUUAAAAAUAACUAAAUUAAAAUAUAAAUACAUGAAAACUUGUGGUUUGUUUUCUUCACCGCACGUGCAUAAAACCAAUAAACUUCGAGUUUAAUGUAGUAUUUCAUAUCUAACACGUUAAUGAUUUCUUUGUCAUCACAAAAAGACAAAAAUGCUUCUUCUUUUAGAUGAAAAUUAUUGUUUAUUUCUAGAAAACUUGAGGAACUUCUUCCUCCAGAAAGCGCUAAAAUAAUUUUUGCAAUAUAACUUUUGAAUAAAUAGGCCCACAACAUCAUACGGUUAGGCUAAACUCCUUUGGUUACUUUUCAUUAACAAAAACUUUUCACAAUUUAGUGUGAAUAAAAUUUAAUUUAAUUUGAAAAAAUAUUUUUUUAAUUUUGGAUUGAUCGAAUAAAUAAUUCAAUUUUGAAUCGAGUUAAAAUUUAUAAUUUAAAUAAUGGAUUAUUAGAUUACUGUAAAAAUUUUUUUUUGGUCUUUAUCAAUUUUAAAAAUAAACAAAUUGAUCAAACUUAACAAAAAUUAAAAAUAAUUUUUAAAAAUUCUAAAUAUUUAUAAAAAUUUUAAUUUUUUUAAAUAUAAUAAUUUUAAAAUAAUUUUGAAGAAUAAAGAAAGUUAAAAUUUUUAAAAUUUUCUAAAAUUAUAAUUUUGGGAACUAAAAAAAGUAAUUAAUGGUUCAAGUUUAUCAUGCUAAAGUAUAUUAUUAUUAUUUACUUUGAAAAAGUUUUCAAAUAUAUAUGAUUUUAAAUUUAUGUACUCUGAUAAGGAAUUAGUUAUACUAUAACAGUAUUUUAAUUUGACAUGUUUAAUUUUUUAAUUUAACUUGAACAAUUUCACUUGAUUCAAUUCGACUUGAAUUUCAUUUUACUCGACUCAAUUAGAAAAAUUUUUGAAAAUCGAGUUAGGAUAAUAAAAUAGGACUUAUCAACUCGAUUAACUCGAAAUUUUUUCACUCGAUUCGAUCAAAUGCUCAUCCCUAUUUCACACUACUUAAUUCUUGUAUUUUUUAUUAAUCCAAUUUUUAUUUUUUUCAUUUAAGGUUAUUUUUUUAUUUUAGUCAUUUAUAUUAUCAGAAUUUAAUAUUUUGAUUAUUCCUUCAUUAAAUUAUUAGCAGUGACUUUUUUAUUAGCAUAAUAAAAUCUUUAGUUAUCUAGUAUUUACAGAUUCUAACAAUUUAGUUUUAACUUUGAAAAAUUCAACAAAUUUAACUAUCAGCUUUACAUAUUCAGUCAAUCUAGUUUCACUUCUUAAAAUUUUAAAUUUAAAAAAAUUAAAAAAAUAAAAUUCAUUUUUCGAUGAUAAUAUAUAAUAUUUUAUAAACAUAGGCUCAAUAUUAUAAAUAAAUGAAUCCUAAAUUUUUCUUUUUCUUUUUUACAUAAAAUUUAUUUAUUAACAUAAUAUUUUUAUCAAUAAAAUAUAUAUAUUUUUAAAAACCCACAAACAAGACUUAGACUACAUUCAAAGCUAUCCUUCUUUUUAGUUUAUUUUAUAAAUAAUAAAUUUUAUUAUUUGUUUAGUCAUGUUUUUUAGUCCCCAGUCAAAUAUGCUAAGCAUUGGGCAUCGUUUUUGCUCGCAAUCACCUGCAUAAAUAACCAUAAUCAUCGACACCAAUAUUUUUUACUCUGAACUAUUCAACUUCACGUACUCUAUCAAUGCGCCAUAGAAUUAAUAAUUGAUUGUAAAGUUACCGACAUGACCUUUCACCUAUUUGGUCUUCAAGACCUUAUCUUUGUAUAUAUAUCCCUAAUCAUGCCUGCCUCAAGCCCAACUUCAAACAGAACAAACUCUUUCUAGGCAACAACCUAAAGAUAUUAAUUCUCACCAUUUUUGACCUCAGGUUGUAGUUUUUUACUCAACUUGAAUACGGUGGUCAUUAAUGCUGAAAAAAGGAAAAUUUUAAAUAUGAAUAAGUCUUCUUUAUGGUUUUCCCCUUUAAAUUGUUUUAUUUAUUAAAUUAUUAUUUUAAUAAAUAAAUUUUAUGUUAGAAAAUGAGAAAAAUAGAUAUUCAUUUAUUUAUAAAUAUUUUUAUAUUUUUAUAUGUAUUUUAUAAAAUCUUAUGUAUUUUUUUGAAAAAUGAACUUCUAAAUAAUUUUUUAUACUUUAAAGUUUUUUUUUAAAUUUAAGAAUCAAUAUUAAAUUGAUAGAAUAUGUAAAGUUGAGCGUUAAAUUUGUUGAGUUUUUUAGAUUUAGGAUUAAAUUGAUAGAAUCUAUAAACAUUGGAGGGUUAAAUAUAUUAUUAUGCCAAUAAAAGGUCACCUUUAGUGAUUUAACGAAGGAGUGAUCAAAGUACUAAAUUAUGAUAAUGUUAGUGUUUGAAUUAGAAAAUUUUAAACUUGAGUAACUAAAACAGAAAUACACCAAUAAUUGAAUGACUAUUUUUUAGAAUUUACCCUUUCUAUUAUUUACUAAAUUAUGUUAUUCAAAAGUUAUUUUUUAAAAUGUUUUUUUUCUGAAGGAAUACAUAUCUUAAUGAAUGUUAAAUUCUGGGAUUUGGCAAAUCACUACAAGAGUUCAUGCCCUUUAUAUCAAUAGUGAAGUACUAUAAAAUAUUCAUCGACAUCCAAGUAUGUUGAGUUUAGAGCUUAGAACUUUAAUUAGGGAAUUUAUUUAUCUGUUGACAACCAUGAAAAUUGACCUCAACUCCAUAAAUACCUCACCCAUUUGUCAUUUAUUCCCACUCAAAAUCCUGUCAAAAGUCUAGAAAAGUUUGGAAAAAUUAUCACAUAAAUUGUGUUAGGAAGAACAUAUUGCAAACAUUAUUGUCAAUACCGUAAAGUUUCAAACUCAAAUUUUUAAUUUUUUUAAUUUUUAUGAAAAUAUUUUUAUGUAAUUUUUUAAAAAUUAAAUGAUCGAAAUUUUUAAAUUCAACAUAAUUUAAAAUUUCUGAAAGUUGAUGCAUGUAUCGAAAAGCUUUUGAUAGAGAUUAAUUUAUACGUUUAAGUUACAAUGACGAAGUUUAAUAUGAUAUCAGUAUUGCUUGCAAUCUUAUUAGAAAAAUAUAGGCUGAAAAUGUAUACAUUUCAUUUUCCAUGUGUCAUGCAAUCUAAUAAUAAGGAGAAGGAAUUAAAUAAUAAUGGAGUGAAAUGCUUAUGAUUGGAAAGGCGAUCUCUGCAGCACAUGCAACUGCAAAUGAAAUGGAUCAAUAUGCUAAGACUUGAACAUGUUAAGGUAACCGAAACCUUUUGAUUCUAGUGUAUCUUGUAUGAGGAUGUGAGAAUUAAUCGAAGAAAUAAAUUAGUGUUGCCUAUCAUUCUGACGUAUCUAUAUAAAGUUAUUUUGUAAGAGGACGUGAGAAUUAAUUGACGAAAUAAAUUAUUGUCGCGGGAGUUGCUUUCUUAAUGAUGAUAUAUCCUUAGAUGUAAUGUAAGCAGUUAAAUUAUUAUUAUUUUUAAAAAUUAUAGUUAAAUUAAGAAGUUGUUAUAUAUUUUUAUAUAUAUUUUUGAAAAAAAAACUCUAAAAUUGAGAUAAUUUUCGUGGCAGUGCAUGAACCGCAGACGUCGAACUUGACAUCCUGUCCCCUCGUCUCGUGCUGCUUAGCCCGAGGCCGAUAUUAGUGCAUGACUUCGUAUCUGACCCAAAAAGGCCACGUACCGGUUGCCCAUGCUACGCUGGCGCAAUGCCAUCCACUUUUUCAUACUUGGUGGUACGGAUACAACCGGGGAAAUCUGGCAGGCGGCGAAGUCACACGUCGAAAGAGGGUCCCACGUGGCAAAUGUGGAGGCGCUUUUACGGACUUAACCUCACAGAAUGGGAACUUGUGGCUGAGAUUUGAAAUGAAUGGUAAGAAGCAAAGCAAACAAGUUGAAAAAAAAUAGAGAAAAAGCGCAAAGGUGGGCUAUACCUAAAUCAGCCACUAAAUUACUGCCAAUUGGCAGCAUCCUGUUGCCUCUCUCAUUUCUGUUUACCGUUCACCGUUCAUUCUCUUUCUCAGCCAGCUCAAAUGAAUUCUUUCGCAAGGUUGAAAUUCAUUUCCCACUCAUACAUUCCGAUUCUUCCUAAUUACUUUUUUUAUCUUUGUAUCAAAACAAAAUUUAACUCGCCCAAUUUCCUUUAUUUUUUUAAAGAAAAUAAUUCCACAGGAAAUUGUAGUGGCUGAGGUUUCUCCUUUUACUCCUCCCCAAACUGUUGUUUCUGGUGUUUUAGGUCUCACCAGAAACGAGUCAGCUUUCAACUUCAGCUUUAUUUCUUCACUCUCUUAAAUAUUUUAUCCAUUAAAAAAACUGUUUUCAGGUGUCGAUUCCGAUCUCUUCAUUGCCGGAAAAUAUGAUUUCUCUAACAGGUCCUUGUUGAACUCUUUCUCUCAUGCGUGAUCGUUGCUUCCAGAAUUAUCGUCUUCCAUGGCUAUCUGUCAAGGUAUUUCCACCGCAUUUUCAGGAUUUCUUUCUUUAUUUUCCGUUUGGUUGCCACCUAAAAUAAUUUGCUUUGUUAAAAACUCUGCUCACCUGAGUUUAAGUUUAUGUUCCUUAUACGCAGUUGAGCAGAGCUACAAAAGAAAAAGUGUUUGAUUCCCCCCCCCUCCCCCAUGGCAACCAAAUAGAAGGUAAAGGAUCUUUUUUUCCCUCAAAAUUAUUUAUGUUUUUGGUUGCUAAAACGGCAAAGUUUUGCAUUUAUCGGAAGGAUGUAUGUGCAAGUGUUUCGUUAAUUACUAAUCAAAGUUUUUUUUUUCCUCUCAUUUCUCGAAAGGUUUUGGCGUCUACGGGUUCGUUUUGGUGAGGAUUCUGAAUAAAGGAUUUUUCUUUUAAUCUUUCGGAGAAGCCGUUUCUUCUCUUUGUUACGGUGGAUGUCCUUUAUUUAUUUGUUUGUUAUUUUCCAGAGAUUUAACUUUACUUCAAAGUUUACUAUGUGAUUAUAAAUAAUGUAGUUCAGUCUGUUUAUUAAUUAUUAUGAUUAUGAAUGAUGAGGAAGUAAAAUUAAUUGGAAUGAAAAAAAAACCAGAGACGGAUAUCUAUCGAUUGUUGUUGGCUUUUGUGUUUUGCAGCAGUAAAUAGCUAUCAUCAGGUUUUUUGGAGUUCAAAAUCGGCAUUGCUAUUUGUAGUUUUGGAUGUCGAAAUAAAUGAAAGGAGUUUCGCGAUUUACCCGUUUCUCGUUACAGAGGAUUUGAAGCAGCGGUAGAGCUCCCAGGUCCUGUAAAUGGACGCAUACUCCUCCGGAGAAGAACUUUUAAUUAAGGUAUUAAUUAUCAAAUGAGGAAACUGUUUUCUAUUUCUUUUAAAUUAUGCAAUUUGAAAUUGUAAAAAAAUUGGAGUUCUUAUUGUUACAACCUCAAUUAUUUAAUUAAUUUUCGUUUUGAAUGGUAGACUAGGAAGCCUUAUACGAUUACAAAACAACGUGAACGGUGGACUGAGGAGGAGCAUAAUAGGUUCCUAGAGGCCUUGAAGCUCUAUGGACGAGCUUGGCAACGCAUUGAAGGUUUUCACUUAUUCUUCCAUCUUAUUAUUUCUUUUUGUUGGUGGGUGGAGGUGGAAGAUACAGAAAUAUUUCAACUGCUGGAUUGGAGCUAAAAUUUGUUAGUACUUAGUAGUUCCAUAUGAAAUGCUUUAGUAAUUUUCUGUGUCUUAACUAAAUAUCUGUUUUUUCUCUCAUUUCUGUUUACUUGGUGAUUCGCAGAACACAUAGGAACUAAGACUGCUGUGCAGAUCAGGAGUCAUGCUCAAAAAUUCUUCUCUAAGGUCAUUUGGUGCCUUCUUGCUUAUGCUUAUAUUCAAUGUAUUUUUCUGCUUCUUAACUCUUGUUUCUGCUAUAAGUAUAUGAAAUGUUGAUCCCUCAAUUGUUGGGAAUAUUAUGAUUACUCUCUACUUUAUAGUUUAUAUUGUUUUUAGCACUUACUUGCAACCAAGAGAAUAUUAUAGAGGUUCCCCUGGCACAUCUGAAUAACUUAUUGAGGAGAAAGAGUUGAACCUAAUACAUGUAAAUACUCAAUAGCUUUCUGUUAAAACAUUAGUUCUGUAUCAGUGAUCAGAUUUAUAGCCAAUUAUGCGAAGAAGCACUUCUAUCAUAUCUAGAAAAGGCAGCAACCUUGAUACUAAUUUUAUAACCAAAGUAAUUUUGCUUACCACAUUUAGGUGAAGCCUUUCCCCUCUCUAGAAAGAUGCUUUGUUGUUCUGGAGAUGUCGGCUACUUCACUUCCAUUUAUUUGGGUAUGAAAACAGUGAUCAGAUGUGUGCAUGGAAGGUUUUAUCUUCAUAGGAAUCUGAGCUGUGAGAAAAUAAAGGAGCGUGGCUCCAUUUUUCUCCAUUGUUUUAAAUGGUUACUUCCUUGUUGGAAUUUCACUAUCAUUUAAUACACCAGGCAUCCAGUUGUCUAUUCACUUUUGAACUUGCUGAUGUAAUUUUACACUUAAUCUACCAUAACAGAGGAUUUGGAUGUAUGGGUUUUUGGCAUAUAAAAGUCACGUAGCGACAUGUAGCCUGAAUUAUUAUAGAGAAUGAAGUACACCCAUUUUGAGGUUGUAAGGAGAGAAUUUGGGCUGACCCGAACUAAGGCGUGCAUCAGGGCUAUAUUAUACCAAAGUUUUGACUCUGCUUCAACUUGAAUUUUUCAACAUCCAUGGACAGUGAUUGUCAAUUACUGUUUCCUUCAUAAUCAGCUCUAUGAAAAUCGAACUUAUUCAUCCUGAACUUAAACUGUGAUUCCUAAGAAACCACUGGUAAUUUUCUUCCAUCUAUACGUAGACUGAUCCUCUCGCUCCCCUAUAUUUAUGCCAUUUUAAAGCUUUCUCCUAAUAAAAAUUGGGGGCUGGUUUAGCCAAGCAGUCAGCUUGACUGCUUGGCUAAACCAGCCCCUUUUUUAAUUUAGUCAAUGAUUGUGCAUGUAUGUUCAAUUGUGGCCUUUUUGUAUGUCUGCUACAGUCAAAAUGUUAUAUCGUGUAGGAUCUUUUUGAGAGCAUUCAAUGUGGAUUUUAAGGACUGAAAACUGUAAAUAACUCUUAAAAGGUGGCUUAAAGGAUUCACCUUAUGGAAUGAGCUUACUUGAUUUAAAAGCUGCAAUUGUGUGUAUACUUUCUUAGGUGAGGGUAGGAAAAACUGUCACAAAAUUGUCUGAUGUAUGUAAAACGGGCCAUAUUGACAGCAGGUGUAUAAAAUUUUGCGUUAACCUCCUGUAAGAGUUAUAAGUAGAUGUUACAGAAAUUAUGCAUGGACUUCUAGUUUCCUGAUAAUGCUUAGUAUUAUUCUAGUUGGAUUAUAUUUUUUUAUUCAUAUUAGAAAAACAACUUUGUCUCCUUAUCUAAAUUAAUUCCAGAGAAAAUAAAUGGCACCAUCAAUGACUAGAAAUAUUUUACUUCUCCAUUUUCAUUUGAGUUUAGACUACUAACAAAUAUUCCAUUCUCAGCUGGAGAAGGAAGCACUUACUAAGGGCAUUCCAACUGGUCAAGCUCUUGAUAUAGAAAUUCCACCUCCACGUCCUAAAAGAAAACCGAGAAACCCUUACCCUCGGAAAAUGAGUGCUGCUACCUCAGUGCAGAUGGGAGCAAAGGAUGGAAAAUCUGAAACUCCAGUAUCUUCUUUGCAUUGCAAACAGGCGUUCAACUUGGAGAAAGAACCUCUCCCAGAGGUUAAUUUCAGUUCCUCAUAUACCUCACUUAUCUAAUGCAUGUCCUUUGUUAUGUUCCACAUAUUGUCUAAUCUUAAUAUGUUCCUUUUUCUGCCAGAGACCUAGCAGAGAUGAAAAAUCUUCAAAUCUGAAAGAAAUUCUAGAUGAUAAUUGCUCUGAGGUUUUUACCCUUCUCCAUGAAGCAAACUGCUCCUCCAUGUCUUCUGUGAACAAGAAUUUUAUACCAACAUCAACAGUGCUUAGAAAUUCUUGCCCUCUUAGGGAGUUUGUACCUUCACUAAAGGAGGUAGUAAAUCAUGAUAAAUAUGAAUUCUAUCCUAUGUCAUUCUUGAACUUUAAAAAAUUUAUGAGGCUUAUAAACUUGAUGUCUUACAGACAAUUAAUAAAGAUACAAGUAAGCCUUCAAACUUGGAGAAUUCUUGCACUUCAUAUGAGAAACCAGCUCAAGUUCAGAGAAAAGAUGAUAUGGACGGUGCUACAUGUACAGAUGAGAUGCAAGCCACUCAUAAUAAUCCUCAACAUGUUGCUGUGCAUGUCCUAGAUGGAAGCCCAGGAACAUGUGCUCCAAAUCCUUCCAUGGAUAUAACUUUUCAGGAUUCUAUAUUUCACCCUAUGGGCGAUAUUCAUGGACAAGUUAACCUGUUUGCAAAUCCAGCGGCAUCUGCUACCACUGCACAUCAGAAUAAUGCACCAAGAUCAACUCAUCAGGCGUUUCCAACGUUUCAUACUCCCUUUAUGCAUCUUCAGCCCAAUCAAGAGGACUACCGAUCAUUUCUACACGUCUCUUCCACAUUUUCCAGUCUCGUUGUAUCUACUUUAUUACAGAAUCCAGCAGCUCAUGCUGCAGCAAGCUUUGCGGCUACAUUUUGGCCAUAUGCAAAUGUUCAAAAUUCUGAUGAUUCUCCUGCUUGUGACCAGAAAGGUUUUCCUUCUAGACAAAUGAACUCUGCUACAAGUAUGGCUGCAAUUGCAGCUGCUACUGUAGCAGCUGCCACUGCUUGGUGGGCUGCGCAUGGACUGCUUUCCGUAUGUGCUCCUCUGCAGACUGGCUGUACUUGUGCUCCUGCAUCCACAGCUGCAGUAACUCCUAUGGAGAAUGGUGAAGCUCCGGCUGCAAAUAUGGAAAGAAAAAUGUAUGCUGGUCAAGAUCCAUCCAUGCAGGAUCAACGGUUGGACCCUCAAUAUGCUGAAGCUAUGCAAUGUCAACCAUCAGCAUCUAAAUCACCUACUUCAUCAUCAUCAGACCGUGAAGAGAGUGGUGAGGCAAAAGCAAAUACUGAAGUGAAAGCAACUGCAGCAACUGAGCCUCAAGAUCCAAAUAAAACAAAGAAUGGAAAACAAGUUGACCGAUCUUCAUGUGGUUCCAAUACACCUUCUUCUAGCGACGUGGAGAUAGAUGUAUUAGAAAAGAACAAGGAAGACAAGGAAGAUCCGAAGCCAGCUGAUGCAAAUCAUCCACAAGUUGAAUGUAGCAAUCGUCGUGGCAGAAGCAGUACCAACCUGAGUGAUUCUUGGAAGGAGGUAUCUGAAGGGGUGAGUUGAUGCGUGUGUUUUUUCAUGCAGCUUUAACUUUGUUUUCAUUUCAUUUUUAUUGUGAUAUUGUUACAUUUGUGGCUCCACUACUAUUUGGUAGCUGUGUUUUUUUUUUGUCAGGGCCGACUGGCUUUUCAAGCUCUCUUCUCGAGAGAAGUACUACCGCAAAGCUUUUCUCCUCCUCAUGACAGAAAGAAUAAAGAGCAGCAAAAGGAAAGUGUAGGUGAAGAUGAGCAAAAUUCAGAUCAGAAUAAUGGAGAGACAUCAAUUUUACACUUCUCCAGCGAGGCAUUCAGAUCUUGUUCUGACCAUCAAGGAGUUGAGAAAAAAGCGUUGUCAAAAGCUAAGAACAUUGUGGACAAGAGCUUGCUGACGAUUGGGCUAGGACAUGAAAAGCUUAAGGCCCGUCAAACAGGAUUUAAACCUUACAAAAGGUGUUCUGUGGAGGCCAAGGAAAGCAGAGUGAUGAACACAGGCAGUCAAGGUGAAGAGAAAGAUCCCAAGAGGAUACGCUUGGAAGGGGAAGCUCCGACUUGAAUUACGCAAUUGCAUGCAAUCAACAAAGGAAAUUCUGUUUGCUGCUUGUGAUCUCUAAUAUUCCCCGUGUCUGAUUUACUACCAUGUUUAAUUUUAAGACUUGCAGCUCACGAGACCUUAUGUCUUAAGUGUGUGUACUAUAUGUCUAUAUUGGCUUAAUCACUUUCCUGGACAAUGCAAUUGUAGUUAAAAACUCCUUUGAAAUAGAUAAGAAGCUUUAAGUAUUGAAUGGCCCUUGCUUUGGGUUCUUUUCAGCAUAUAUAUGCCCUUGUGUUUACUAUUCUACUCUGGUGAUCUUAUUCACUAUAACCUUUUAGAUGCAUUGAAACGGCAAAAUGAAAAGGAAAGGUUUGCUUGCCUGCCUUGCGGUUGCAGCCUACAGGACAUCCACUGGUUUGUAGUAACUUUUUAACUGCUUUUUUUAUUUUAUUCUUCCUAGUCUUAACUAGAUUUUUUUUGGGUGCAAAAUAGGUCCUGCCAUGAUAAAUCAGUGAAAGGUAAUAUUGAUGCUGCUAUUCAAGCUCAAGAUCAACCGGAUGUUUAGGUGCGCUAUUCUUGAAACUUGAUUAUAUGGUUCUUUAUAUUCUACUUUUGAAAUCAAUUCAGUUCUUAUCUCCUUGUUUCCAUUAAUGAAAUCCAGACGGUGCACGAAAUGUUGAGUAGGCGAGUGACAUUUUUCGACAUAAUGAAAAAAUUGUCACCUGAUGCCAUACAGGUCUGCAUAUCCCUCAUCCUUUUAUUCUUGCGAAGAAUGAUUUCGAUUUAUCCAAUUUAUUUCAGGUACACGAUUUCUCCACUGCAAUUUAAUUUCAGAAGACAAGGGUUACUUGGUUGAGUCUGCCCCAAGAAUUUAAGACAGGUUCUAUCCUUAAUCAACAUCUGAUAGUGGCUCCAACAAUAAUUGAAAGAAUUAUAUCCAUUUAUGGAAAACAUGACUGUACAGGUUACAUUUCUAUUCAAAUUUACAUUCUAUCAAGAGAAAGAAUACUACUAUUUACAUCAAACUCCUAUGGAACAUAAGAUCAUUUUGUUCGAUUGCCAGUAUUUGUUAAUAUAAUUUUUUUUCUAUACAUUAGAUAUAUCAAGUUCAAGUCUAUUCAUAGAAUGACAUCAUUUAGUAUUGCCCAUUAUAUACUCGUAAGACCCAGCUCAAAACUUGCUGCAGUUUUGAAAUUACUUUUUUACACAAGCAGAGCACUUCAUUUGGUGUGGAAGUCUGCAGACAGCUUAGGAAACGGUGCUGCUGUUAGAAACUGAGAUUGAUGAGUCUGCAACUUGUUAAUGUAUGUCUGAAUUCGCUUCUUAUUGGCAGGAGUCAAUGUAAAUGGUGGGUUCAAUGGAAGACUUGCCGCCUCUCCUACAAUAAAUGAAAGUAAAACCAUUGCUUUAGAGUACAAUGCCGCUGCACUACCUUUGUUCUCCAUAUACUCAUCUACCUAAAACAAGUUCAUAAAAGAUAAAGAAAAAGAAAGCAUUUAUGUUAGUCACAACUACAAAGGGUAAGUAAAUAAAUUAUGGCGUUGAUGCAAGUUACUCACAGCGCCACUUGUCCCGAUAGUGAGUGCGGUUUGAUAUAUUAUUUCCAUGGCAUCAGGCAUCUGUGCUGUAGCUGAAAUUAUUUGACAGACCAAUCAAAACCCCAAUCAAGAGAAAGUUAUAAACAAAGUGUUAUUUCAUAUUGACAAUCUAACCAUCCAUAUCUUGAAGAUGACAUGACAACUUCUCGGCACGAUCAUAAGCAUUAAUAAAUCCUUGCUCUGCCCAGAUGCAAGCAGAUGAAGGCUUAUUUAAAUCUACAUUGUCACCUGAAUUUGGAGCCAAGCCUGCGCUACUCUGAAUAGUGGUAGUAGGUUGAUUGCCUGAAUUGCUUCCAGGUGAUUCAUUUUCUGGAGCAGAGGUUUUCCAAGAGCUACAGAUCUGAAGAGCUUUCUUCCAUAUAGCCAAGACAACAAGUUCAACUGAAAAUGAUUCUACAAAUAGUCCUGCAUUAUACUGCACCCAACUGAUGUUAGAGAGAUGCUUCACUCAAUGCAAUAAUCUGCAACAACAGAUAUGCAGAUGUUUUUUCCUGAAAAAACUAACAGGCUUUGACUCGGCCAUAAAUGGAACUCACAUCCUAAAAUAUAACGAGUAUUAGUUAACUGUUUAUAGCAAUCCAAUGUUUCUAAACGGAAAAGGUUAAAGCAUUUAAAAAUUUCACCAAACAGAAAAGCAGGCUUCUCCGAAAGUUGAGCCGCUCAAGUUUUAAUAGCCAGAUCAUCUAUGACCUAGAUAAGGACAGAGAUAUAACUGGGGAGCUACUACUUCACUAUUCUUCUAUAACUGACAAAAUUUCUGGUACUAGAAAUACAAUAUCCAUGUUCUUCUAGGUCAUGCAAUUGCCUGUCUACAACAGAUAGGCUGUACUUAUUCAGCAGAAAACAAUAAAAGAUCACCUUUCCUUGAGCUAUUUCUGCAAUAGCCAGUGCAUACUGAUGCAAUAACUGCAGCCUAGUUGAGGGAUGCAAUAUGUUAAGUCUCUGUACUUCCCUUAGCAUAGCUGAUUCAGAUGAUGUUUGCAAAUCUGAUCCCUGAAACUGUGGAGAUUUUGCAGAAGCGACAGAACUUUCAGCGGUCUCCUUCUCCAGAGAAACUGCUGGUUCCUGGUCACUCUUCUUUGCUUGGCACUUCAAAGUUGAAUAAUCUUGGAGGGACGUCUCCAGGUAAUAAGAGAAAGUCUCCAUCGAUGCGGAACGAGAAUUGACUAGAACGUAUUCCUUCUCAAUACCUUCCAACGAGUCAGCUACUGGCCAUAGAAGGGAAAAAUGAGGAAUUAGAAGGAUAGAAAGAAAAGAAAAGACAAUAAUUAAAAGAAAAGAAAAGAGCAUAGUGGGAACAUUGUUUAGCAGAAGAAUGCACCUCUGAGCUCAGCUGGUGAACACUGGUUAUCAACAGAUUUUCCUUUGCUAUCACAUCCAGUAAGAGCCACUGCCCCAAGAGCACCUUUGACACUGGAGUGUUCCUUUGUUUGUGAUGCCUUACCACAUCCAAAUGAACUAACUGAUUUCUGAUUUAUGCUAGAUAUGUCUAUGAGAUCCCGAUAAGGUAAUGGAGAUUUCUUCUCAGAGGCAGAAGAAUCAAACUUCUCAACCAUUGCUUCUGAUUGAAGACGUGAUGAGUCCAGCUCAAGGCCCACCUUUUUGCUACAGAUAAUAAUACAAUAAACUUAAUCCAAGUUGCUUUGCCUGCUAGACAACUUUACAUAAAGGAAUUUGAAACAAGUAGCAUCAAAAGCACUAAAAGAGGAUUUUACCUUCUCUCACCAAGGAACUUGUGAUCGAAAAAUUCCCUGAAUGUCAGUCGCUCAACUGCAAAUUUAAGUUAAAUUUUAGAUUGCAGGGUUUACAAGUACUGCAAGUAAACUAAAGAUCCCAAAUAUUUGCAAACUGCAGGCAUAAUUAUUGGUUCCAUAUAACCCAAAAUCAAGACCGUUAGUAACCAGUACCCGCAUCAUGUCGUAACAGAUUUCUGCAGAGAUUAACACAAUCAGGAUGUAAUUCUUCCAGGGCUCCUUCUGGAAACUGCAAUUCAGUGGACCUCAAUAUAUUCUGGAACAGCUGCAUACAGAAGAGAAUCACAAUGAAUAUUUAUGAAGCAUUUAAGCUUUGAUAAUAAGCCAAAUAGAUCAUCCUACACAUAAACCUGUAGUUGAUUAUCGCCAUCAAAUGGUGGCUUCCCAGUGACCAGUUGAAAUAAGAUUGCCCCAACACUCCACAAAUCAGCCUGCAUUGAUCAUUACAGUCAAGUAAAAGCUAGCUAAAGAAAAAUAAAGGAGGUGGGUCGACUGGAGGGAGUAAAAUCCAUGCAGUUCUUUCACCUUUGCAUCAUACUUCUUAUUCUGAAUAAUCUCAGGUGCCAUGUACAAUGGUGAACCACAUAGUGUAUCAGCCAAGUUUUCAGGUGUCAAGGAUCUGCAAAACAAGGUAUAUCAACAGCUUUCUAUGAACAACUUCGAUCCCUGUGUCAAAAUGUUAUAUAGUUAUCUAAACCAGAACUUGUUUGAAUCAUUUUGGGUCAUGACAAGAGAAUACGGCUGACAUAUGUUCCAUGGAAGUCAGAACACAUGUUUCUAGAUAGCCUAACUUUUCUAAUUUUAAAAAAAAUGAGAAGAGAAAAAAGAUCUCUUCCUUACAAGUAUCAAAAGCAAAAAAGAAACAGAUUAAAUUAUACUGCAUGUUGCAAAAUGAAGCCAUAUCCAUGAACUAAGCAUUGUGCCAACUAGAAGAAGGCCAAUUAAAGUGUUCACCUUGCAAAACCAAAAUCUCCUAUCUUCAAUUGCGGAGUUGAUCCUUUAGUUAACAGUAAGUUCUGCAAAGUUACAAUAAAUUUAAAAGAAAUAAAUGAUCUAGUAUUCACCACAUAUAAACUACAGAGGUUAGCUGCCAGUUAAUUACGAAAUAGAUCUACUAAUAUACAACAAGAGAGAAUGCAUUGCAGUGUCCUAUAAAACAAGAAUGCCUGCAUUUCUUUAAACAUGACCCAUACUACUUGGAAAAUCAACAUCCUACUAAACAUACAAGGAAUUAAACUAAGAUAUUGAAGCACCAUACCUGCGGCUUUAAAUCCCGAUGAAUAAGGUGUUCUUUUUGAAGAACUUGCAAUCCUGCAGCUGCACAAGAUAGUCCACCGAUUAGGGCAUUCCAGAUAUUUCUGAAUAAGCUAAAUAGAAACGAAUGUAAGCAAAGAAAAUUGGGGAUAUGAGGAAACAAUGGGCUCCAGUUUGGCAUCAUAUCCAUUUGACUAACAAAGCAAUUAAGAAUAUCUUACUGUAAAUCACACGUGAAACAAUAAUAGCAAUAUAAAUUGCAAAUCCGUUGCCUUAGCUAUCAAACAUUUAAUUUAAAAGCCGUUACUACUUAAGCAGCAAAAGUUUGUGCUGUAACUGUUGUUAUGAGGUUUCCCAACAAAAACCCACAUGCAAUAUCCAACUAGAAUUAUAAGCUUAAAACAAAAACAACCCAAUCAUCAAAUUUGUAUUUAAUAACUGUUAUUACCAUCAAUGAGGUUCAAAGAAGCAAUUGUCUAAAGAUUGUAAAAGAAUUUCAAAACAGAGUACCCAAUUGCCUCAUAAGAUGCCUGGCAACUUCCUCCGAUACUUUUCCAUAUCUUUGAAUAUAAGCAGCGAGAUCCCCUCCAUCGCAAUAUUCCAACACUAGAAAUAUCCUAUCUUCAGUCUGCCACAGCAUUACUUACGCAUUAAUCAGUCAUAAAAUAAUUCAAAUUUCCAAAGGAAAUAGAAAAAGUGGGUAUAUCAAAAAUAUUUUUUUUUGAAAAAAAGAAAGACCUCAAUGGCUUCAAAAAGUUGGAUGAUGUUGGGGUGAUUAAUAGUGCUGAGAAUGUUUAUCUCCUUGAGCAGACUUUCACUGACUUUGGAGCUCAGCAGUUUCUUAUCAAUCUCUUUAACUGCGACUUCCAACCCAUGUUGUCGAUGCCUUGACCUCCAAACCACCGCGAAUGAACCCGACCCGAUUCUUGGACCCAGAAUAUAGUCUCCGACUAGUCGGACCUGGCCAGGACCCGGUCCCCCGUAAUCCACCGUCGUCGUCAUCAUCAACGACCAACCAGUUGACUAGCUCCCUUUACUGGGUUUUUGUUCCUUGAGUUGAAAACAUCAUCGUGUCUUGUCUUUUAGCCUUUUAUUCCCCAAUUCCAGAAUUGCCCAAUUUAUCUAAAAACAAAAGAAAAUACAAGGACAAGGGAAGACGAGCAGGGAGACAGAGAGAGAGAAAAUAGGGUUGGUUUAUUGGACCAUUUUGUCUAUUUCUUUUCUUUUUGCUUUUAUUGAAUUAUUUUUGUGUGGAAACGACGCCGAUGUAUAGUAGUAGUAGAGGUUUGGUUUGGUUGGAUUUGCACUUGGACUUUAAGUUAAAGCUAAAGCUAAAGUAGGAUUGAUAUUUUUGUAUUUUCAUUAAUUUUUUAUGUAUUUAUAAUUUUAUCACAUUCACAAUUCUAUUUUACUAUUUUCUCUAAAUUUAUAAUGUUUAUUGUUAUUUUUAAAUAAUUUAACAUACAAAACAAAUGCACUAUACAUUAUUUCGUUCUAUUUAAUACCAAAAAUACCGAGCCAUUAGUCAUAUAAGAUAUUUUAAUAUUGCCGUUUCGAUAAAUAUGUUUUCUUAUAUAUGAAUAUUGAAAUAUUGUUAAUCCUAUCACUUAGAAGGUCGAUUGAUUUAAUGGGUUAAUUGAAUUAAUUAAAUUUGUACUUUUUUUAUUCAAAUGAGUUAAACAAAAAUAUUAUGUUCUUUUAUGGUAGAAGAAGGUAAUUUUUAUUUUCAUAAAUUUUCUCUUAUCAUUUAUAAAAUAACAAUUGUUUCACUUUUACUCAAUUUUAUUUUUGUAAGGCCCAAAUUCUGCCCGGGUCCAAGCAAACAAAUACAAAAAACUAAAAUAACAAACAAAACAAGAAAAUCAUAAAUAUUGUUUAUUAACAGUUCAUCAGCCCAUUUAUAAAUAGUCAUUUUUACAGUCCGAAACCUAAAACUAAAUACAAUAGGCCCAAUGCCCCAAAUACCAAUACAAACCCAAAUCAAUACCUCACAGCCCAAUAGCUAAACCCAGACCCAAUAAUUAAACCUAGACCUAUUUUUAAAACCUAGGACCCAAAUACAGGCCCAAUAGGCCCAAUGUCUAAAACAAGGGCCAAGGCAGAAACCCUAGCAGCCUUGGCUCGUGCCGCAACAGCAACCGGACAGCAGCUCCAUGCCUCCGUACGCCCCAGCCUCCUGGUGCCACGCCCGUGCCCCAUACUCUGUACCUGCAAACAAAUGAGGCAAACAUAGCAGCAAAAAAAAAAACAAAACAAAGAAAAUGUUGUAUUUUGAUUUAUUUUCCUCUUUCUUUUCGGCUAUAAAGCCAGAUUUUAACCUUGUAAUCGGUUAUGCACGUUUACGAACGUAAUACAAACAGACUAUUUUCAUAUUGAAUACAAAGAAAAGGCCACCUAUAUUGGAAGGUGAUUUUCCGAUUUAGAGUUGCGGGCGUUCCUCUUUUUUUAUUGUUCUUCGUUUUGUGUUGUUUUUUUUUUUCGAAAGCAAAUAAAGUGAAGGGGAAAGGACUUACCUUCGCAUAUGAGCCACCGGAGACCUCGUCCCUUUCACUGAAAUCGAAAUCGAGGAUGGGAUUUCGGGGUUUAAAUCGAAAAAUGCCACGCUAGAUUAAACAGACAAGUAAAAAGGGGUCACCGAAGGCCAUCAUCCAUCGUCGCAGUGAUGAAAUGAUGGCCGAACGGCGCAAAACUUUUGGGGUUCCCCUCUCCCCAUUGUUUUGACUAAAAAUCUAGGGUUUUCAGGGACCUUAUUCUCUUUUAUUCGGCGAUGUGAAACGGUGCCGUUUAAGGCAUGGUGAGUAGCCUUGAAACGACACCGUUUGGAUAGCCUGACCCGAUCAGCUCCCUGGUGCCCCGAUGACCCUCGCGUUUUGGCGAUGAGGGUUUAUUUCAACGCCGGUCCCUCCCCUUUCGCACUGUGUUCAAAUCAACCGAUAUUUGUGUUCUUUUUCUUUGAAAUUAGUUUCGUCAAUUUAUGCGCAUUUGCAUUUAAGUCUGCGCUUGUGUGCUGAGUUUCAGGGGCCUGGAAUAUUUCCAGCAUAGGUCCUUUGACAUUUGUGCGCAUUGCGUAUUUCCCUUUAUCCUUAUUUAUGUCUUCAAAUUAUUCCUAUUGUUUUUGUUUGAUUCUAAUUUAAUCCUUUUAGUUCUCAGUCCUUUUGUAUUUGUUACUUAUUUAUAUUUUUCAACUGCCUGGAUGAUUGCCUCUUUUUUUUAUUAUUGUAAUUUUUUGUAUAUAAUAUCAUCGCCACAUUUUAUGUAUUUUGCACCAAAUUUUUACACAUUGACAUAUAUUAUAUAUACACAUUGUAAUGAGUUGACAAUAUCCCAUGUACAUGCAUCUAUGUGUAAGUAUACAUAUAUCUAUCUAUUUAUUUUCUUUUAAAUUUGUUUGUUUACACGUUAUUUUAUAUAUAUAUUUAUUAUAAUAAAGUUAACGUAUUUGCAUGUAUAUAAUAAUUUUUGACUCAAUCUAUGUAUUUUGGUAUAUAUAUUUUUUGUUAUUUUAACAUGUUUUGUACAUAUGUGUUGCAUAAAGUUUACAUUAUUUUUAUACUCACUUAUAUUAGUACACAUAUUUGAUAUAUAUUUCUAAAUCUAUUUUAAUUAGAUUUUAUUUAUAUACAUAUACAUUAUACAUAUACAUAUAUUUUUUCACUCAUAAGCAUGUUUUUUUAAAUCUAUCGUUUAAUUUAUAAUCAAAUUGAUUUAGCCCUAGGCACAUUAUCAUUUCUAUAUAAAUUUGCAUGUACUCUCUUUUAAACUCAUAGGUAUACAUAUCAAUAUAAUUGUUACUUUAAUAGACUUUUCAUUUUAAAAUACUUUCUAUUUUAUGAUUUUUUUAUUCUCUCUCACUCUCUCUAUAUAUAAAAUUAUUUUUAAAAAAACCCUUUUUGUAAUUUCAAAAUUAUUAUUUUUGAAUAUUUCUUUAUAUUGUAUUACUUAUGCAUUUUUUAUAGCCUAUCAUUUAAAUGUUUUGAUAUAAGGAUAUGUGUGGUUUUUAGACCAACUUAAAAUUUAUGUACAUUUUUGGGCAUUAGGUUUUGUCAUGUAUUUUUUUUAUAUAUCAUAUCAUUUAUCAAAUGUUUUGUUAACUUCUAAAUAAACUUGUAUUUAAAAUAUUUUACAUGCAAUUUGGUUUAAACUUUCAUUCUAUGAUAUCGGUUUCAAAAAGGGGUUACAUAUAUAUCCCUAGUUUUAUACAAAUUUGUCAAUCUAUAUUUUAUAUGUCCAUUUAUUCGUCAUUAUUGUGAAAUAGUUUUAUACCAUAUUGUUUCCGUGGUUUGCAUUUUGUUGUGCCUCUAAUAAUUUUAUUAUGCCAUAUAUGCGGUAGUUGCAUUUUAUUUAUUCAUUAUUGUCAUGUUAGUCGUUCUCCAUGCAUAAUUGAAGUCGAGUUAUAUUUUUAAGUUAAUUAUAUUUAAUUGUUUAUUUUCUUAGUUGAUUAAUAUUCUCAUUCAUCAAGUACGGUAUCUUAUAUGUGCCUAUUACCUCAAAUCAUUAUUUUCCACCUUGUUUUUGAAAUGUGGUUUUUGUGAAAUUCAAAUUUUUAUGAUUAAUUUCAUCUUAUUUCAAAUCGAGUUAAUACGUUUUAAGUUAGUUUUAUAAGUAUUCGUUUAAGAAUUCUUUAAAACGAAGACGAGAUUCGAUAUUUGGCAAUUCGUGAAAUAGUGCCCUAACGUGUUGGGUUGCAAUUUCGCGUUUGCUCAAAAUAAUUGAAUAUCCCUUCAAAAUUUCACUCACGCCUUUCAAAAAUUCUUUAAAACGAAGUCGAGAUUUGAUGUUUGGCAAUUCGCAGAAGCGUGCCCUAACGUGUUGGGUUGCAAUUUCGCGUUUGCUCAAAAUAAUCGAAUAUCACUUCAAAAUUUCAUUCAUGUCUAUUAAAAUCCCUAAAACGAAGGCGAUAUGCGAUAUUUGGCAAUUCGUUGAAUCGUGCCCUAACGUGUUGGGUUGCAAUUUCCCAUUUGUUUAAAAUAAUCAAAUAUCCCACAGGUCUUCUAAAAAUCCUUUAAAACGAAGGUAAUACUCGGUGUUCGACAAUUCGGGAAUCAUGCCCUAUCGUGCUGGGUUGUGAUUUCUCUUUUGUUCAAAACAAUCGAAUAUUCCUUUAGGUUUUCAUUCAUGUUUAUUAAAAACCUUUCAAAACGAAGGCAAUGUUCGAUGUUUGGCGAUUUGAGAAUCGAGCCCUAUCGUGCUGGGUUGCGCUUUUUCAUUUGCUCAAAACAAUCCAAGAUCCCUUCGAAAUUUCACUCGUAUUUUCUAAGGUGAGGCAAUGUUUGAUGUUCGGAAAUUCGAAGAAUUGUGCCAUACUGUACUGGGUUUCGAUUUUUCGUUGGACUGAAUAGUUGAGCAUCCUUUCGCGAUUUUCAAAUUAUAAAUUUUCGGACGCCGAAACAAGAAGAUUUUUGACAAUCAACUCGGGUUAUUCAACUGUUAUUAAAAAGAACCACAUUUCAAAAACAUUUUUAAUUUUAGACAUAAGGACAAUAUUUAAUCAAUUUGGUACCAAUUUUGGGCGUAGUGAGGGUGCUAAUCCUUCCUCAUGCGUAACCGACUCCCGAGCCCGUUUUCUAAAAUUUUCAUAGACCAGAGUUGUUGUUUUAGUAAACUAAAAAUGUUUUAUUAAAAUAACUUCAUUCUUAGGUGAUCCGAUCACACCAAAACAAAGAUCGGUGGCGACUCCACGUAUUUGUUUUUCAAAAGUCAAUUCCCCAUCUCUUUUAAACCUAAAAAAAAAAUUCAAAAAGGGGGUGGUUUCGACAAAUAUUUUAUUAUAAAGUGGAUGUUUAUUAGGAUAAGAAAUUUGAUAUACUUUAGGACUCUAACAUUCAUUAGAAAUAGAAUCAUAUAUAAACACAGCUCGUACAUUAUCAUAGUUUGCCUCAUGACUAUUUAUAUAGAGUUCACAUAUAAUUAUCUUCCAUGUCAAAUACAGUGAUAGUUCACAUAUUCAAGUAUUCAUAUAUGCCUAAUAAGACCUAAAUACAUUCACCAAGUAUUCAAGUAUAACAAUGUCAAUUCUGUUAAACAAAUGCUUCUUUCGUCGCUUGAUGCAUUUCCAACAAACACAUAUAUGUUUAUGAUAGCCAUUCAAAAUCCAAGCCAUAUUCAUGAUAAAAAAUAUCAUAAUUCGACAUCUCAUAACAUCAUGUUUUCAUGCAAAACCGUACCUACAAAUACCAUUUGGAUUUUAUUCAAGACAUCGCAUUAAGCUAUAACCCAACCAUCACAUAUUGAAAAUUUGGCCACCAUACACACUUAUAUACAUAACAUGUAAACAUCCAAAAUCAAGUACCACAUAGGCUCAAGUUCAGGAGCAAUCAAAAUGACACAUAUGUAAUGUGACUCUUGUAUACAUGCCACAUAACCAAGAUCGAAACAAUUAAAAAACUAUCGAGUUAGAAGAUGGAUAGUGUGGACUUCGAAUUGAUCCGAUCGAUGCGUUCCACAAAAGACAACUACAAGAUAAUAAACAUAAACGACUAAGCAUUACGAAUGCUUAGUAAGUUCAUAUAAGCUAGAAUAGUAAACUCACCUCAAAUCACAACUAACCCAAUGAGUUAGCUAACCAUACGACUUUUCUGUCAACACAUCUCAUAGCAGUAAUGUGAGUUCAUCAGAUACAAUUUUACAACAUUUCAAUACGUACAAUACAGUUCCAAAUACAAUACAUAAUAUCAAUCGGAUAUUUUUCGUUUUACAAUAAUUAUAUAGCCUGAUGAACUACAAUAAAUAGAUACGGAUACGCGAGGUAACCACCAAAAACGCACUAGAUUGCUUGUUCGAGCGAUAACUUCAAAACACACCUGAGCACCGAAGUGCUAAGCCUAUAGGCAUAUGUCAUAGACAAUCCAACCCUUUAGAACACACCAGGGUCUCCGUAGAGACAAUCAAUAACAGUGGUCUUCGUAGAGACAAGACAUGGUAAUUCGCAACAAAUAUUGGAUUUCGAUUUAAACUGUGAAUUCUUCGUACAUUAGUAUUAUCUCAUAUCAUAUACUAUACAACACGCAAUAAUCCUAAUGGCAUGCUAAUUGUAUCUUAUCAUUUCUUACAUUCAUCCGGGCACACUUAACACAUUAAAAUGAUUUUUUACAAUUCAGUCUAUUUCUCACCUUUUUGUACUAUUUUACAUACAAUUCAAAACACAUUCAAUGUAUAUAGAUCCAUAAUUCAAACACAUACAUUACAUUUGCAUUUAAAAUUAUAUCAUAUGAACUUACCUGGCAAAAACAAUAGUAAACAAGGUGUCGAGGACUAAUCUACAAUUUUCCUUUUUCCUCGAUUAUCUACCGGUUGAUUCAAAUAUUGAUUUAUUUAGUAAUUCAUUUCAAUUUAUUAAUUUUAAUAGCUUAUACUAUCUCAUUCCAUGUAUAUAACAUGUUAAUUUCAUUUUUCACAAUUUCCUAAAUUUUCUCAUUUUAUUCAAUUUAGUCCCUAAAAUUAAAACAAUCAUAAUUUUUACAUUUAAGUUUCAUUUUACAAUCCGAUUUCAAUUUCAUCCUUCUACAGCCCUCUAAAUUCAAUAAUUACAGAAAUUUCAUGUCAAUUUCAAAUUAUUUUCAUUUUAGUCAUUACACUCGAAACUAGCAUUUAAACUUUACAAUUUAAUCAUUUUUUUUCAUUUCUAAGCUUAAAAGCUAAUAUUUAAACACCAAAAGCUUCAAAAUUCAUCAACAGUAACUUUUAUAAACUUUAACAGUUUUAUGAAUUAAUACUCAAGUUAGCUAAAUCGAGCUACAAUCGAGCUACAAUGAUCUCAAAAAUAUAAAAUUUAUGAAAAACGGAUUUUAGAAUCACUUACAUGCAAGGGACGAAUGCUAGGGAAUUUUUGAAGCUCUCAAUUAUUCAUUCAGUAGUGAUAUUUAGUGGAGAAGAUGAGAAUGAAACUCAUUCUCUUUCUUUCCACUUUUAUUUCUUUUAAUUAAUGCCUUAAUUUUAUUAAUGUAUUUUAAUUUUUAACAAAACAAUUGUUAAAAUCAUGCACCAACCUUCCAUCUAAUACAUUAUGGUCUAAUUGUCAUUUAAAUUCUUGAACAAUUUUUAUUUAAGUCUUUUAACAAAUAAAAAUCAAUAGCGAUUUACUUUUACGAUUUUUACGAUUUAGUCCUUAUAUUUUAAUUACUAACUGUUCAAUAAAAUUACAGGAUAAAAAAUCAAUAUAACAUUAUAAUAGAUUUUUAAAUAUUAAUAAAUAAUAUUUACUGAUUUGGUCAUCAAAAAUGGGGUUCUGAAAUCGUCGUUUUUGGUACCACUGAAAAAUGGAUUGUUAUAUAAGAAAUGUGAUAACACUUGGUUACUAACCAAGUGAUAUAACUUGUGGUUACUUAUAACUUUUCAACAACUAUUGGAAUACUAUAUAUUUUGAAAAUAUUCCAAUAAUCUCCCCCUAUUUUCAAAAUAUUCUAGAUUUUGAUAACUUGUAAAUCAAUUGCAUAAAUGAAUGUGUCUUACGAUUGAACAUUCACUUAGUGAAAAUAUGUUAAAGUUAAUAGAAAUUACAUAAUAGACUAUGCUUUGAACCAACUAUUCUAUCUGAUUAACUGAAAACAUCUCACACAAUGAUUUCAACACUAGUCAAUGGACAGUAUCUAGGGACACUAUUUUGGCCAUGUGUCUGUAAACUCUUUUUCAUGAGUGUUGUAAGAGCCAAGUGUAAUGGCCUAAAUUCAAGGUUAUCGGAACAAUGGUUUUGUAACCAUAGAUCCGAUUUAAAGAGAAAUUUAUUUCAAUAUUUUUACUUAAAAAUUGAUAUGAUAGGAAAAUCAUAUGAAAAUAUUGAUAGAAAAAUUUUACCAAUUUAGUGAUUAGAUAGAAAAAGAAAUUAUUGAAGAAAUUGGGUAAAAAUAAGGUAUCGAGACCUCUAUCUCGUAAAACCGAGUCAAAAAUAAUUUUAUAAAUAUUUAUGAAAUGUUAUUAAUGUGGUAGUAAAAUUUCGUUAGGAAAUUUUAAUGUUUGAGUAGUCAAUUAAAUGAAAAGGACUAAAUUGUAAUAGGUGUAAAAGUUGCUAGAGUGAUUAAAUAGCUUAAGAGUCUAAUGAGAAAGGAUUUAAAAGGCAAUUAGACCCAAAAUUUAUUUGGGCUGGACGGAAAGGGUAUGAAAUCAGCAGAAAAAUUGAUAAAUUAAGGGUAAAAUUGGAAUAUUGCAAAAUUAACUAAAUAAAGCUAGGACUAAAUAGGAAAUAUCUAGAUUUCUCUUCAUUUCUCUUCAAUUCCAUCAGCUAAAAACGACAUAGGAGGGUUCUCUAAGCUGAUAUUUCAUAAUUUUUGCACCAAGUGAGUUAAUCCUUGCCUUUUUCUUGUCAUUUUUGUGUUUCUAAGACUUUUACAACUAGGUCCUACUAUUAAAUUCAUUAGUUUUUGGUUUCAUGGAUGAAAUUGAAAGUCACCAUGGUUGAGUGCUGUAAGUUUAUGAUGAAGUAGAAUUAAAUUAAAGCUUUAAUUUUUUAUGAGAUGAUUUUAUUAGGUAAUUUCAAUAGAAAUUGAUUUUUAGUACCUAAUUGUGAAAAUGCUUGGAAUUAAAGUCUAUUGCUGAAAUUAUGAUUCCUAAAGGUUGUAAACUAGUUUAAGGUGAUAGAAUAAAAUGUUAAUUGAUAAAAAUCAGCUCAAUUGAGAGGCUAAUUGAGUAGGGACGAAAUUAUCAUUUAUUAAAAGCUUAGGGGAAAAUGGUAAUAAACAGCUUGCACAAAAACAGUUUGGACAGCAGCAGUAGACUAACUUUGAAAAAUCACCAUAAAUUUUAGAAAUCUAAUUAGAAGAUGAAAAAAAUAUGGAAUUAAAGCUUAUUGAGUCUAGUUUCUCAUAGAAGAAAUAUUGUAAGCAAUGGAUUUGUAAAUUUUGAGAUAUAAUGAAUUUUGUGAGACAAGGUCAGAAUGAAUUCGGGUUCCCCUAUUCUGACUUUGAAAAAUCAUAAAAAAUUUAAUAAAAACAAUUAUGGGCUUAAAUUUAUAUGUCUAGAAUCCUUAAUGAGUCUAUUUUUAAGAGAAACAAACGAGAACAUUAUUUGAAUUCUGUAUGAAGAGAUAAUUAAUUUUUAGUGAAGAAGGGUCAGAACUGUCGACAGCAGAACAGGGGUGACUUUAAAGAAUAAACUGUACUUAUUGGCUAAACCAAAAAUUCUGAAAAUUUUAUGGUAAAAUUAUAUAUGAGUAUAGUUUCAGGUAAAAUUAACGGAUCUUAAUUUGGAGUUCCGUAGCUCAAGUUAUAAAUAAUUUAGUGACUAUGACUCAAGUAGACAGCUUUGAAUGAACUAUAAAUAAUAGUUGAAUUAUAGAGAAUGUUGCAUAUGAACAUGAAAUGUAUUAAAUUGAUAAUUAAAUUUAUUUAUUUAGAUCCGGAAGAUUCAAAUACGAAGCUAGAUAGAGGAAAGGAAAAAGUUCGGGAUUAGUAGAUUUUUAUUGUUUACAAACAAGUAUCAAGGUAAGUUCGUGUAACUUGAAUUAUAUUCUUAAAUGCUUGAAAAUCAUGUUUUUGAUAUGAAUAUGAUUUGAAUGUUCAUUAUAUGGAAAUUUAUGAAACAUUGAUAUAUUUGAUAAAAUGGGAAGAAAUCUCGUUUGAAUGAAAGGAAAAUUCGAUGGAUCUUUGAAAAGGAAUUGACGGUAAAAAGGAUCUAGCCCGGACGGGUGAUCCUAUCAUGAUAUAGCCCUCCCGAAGAAUAUGUGUAAAAUGGAUUUAGCCCGGACGGGUAAUCCGAAUUAGGGUCUGAAUUUAGCCUGGACUGGUAAUUCAGAUCCAAGCUCAUUUGAGUAAUUGUCGUUGCAGGGGAUUUAGCCUGGACUGGUAAUCCCGACAAUACUGUAUGAGUUUAUAUUGCAGGGGAUUUAGCCUGGACUGGUAAUCCCGCUGCAAGGUUGACAUUCGCAGGAGUGUGCUUUCUGAAAUGGAUAUGUGCGCACAUGAAUAUGAAUUGACGGACCCGGAAUUGUACAAUAAAUGUGUACCUCUGAAAAUCCAUCAAAAUUUCGAUAAAUUCAACGGGAUAAAUAUGGAAAAAUAGCAAGGAAAUGGGAAUCAUGGUAUUGACGAGCUCAUCAAUCAUGGUAUAUAUAUUAUUGAUACAUGGAAAUUAUUGUACUAACUUGAAUGUUGAGUUUGUGCAUGUUAGGGUAAUAAUGCAUUGAAUGGAUAUAUGAAUGUUUAUUAUAUUGUAUUGAAAAUAUUAGGUAAGUAUAAUUCUUGUUACAUGAGCUUACUAAGCACAAAGUGCUUACCCCGUUUCCUUUUUCCCUGUUUUGUAGUGUUAAGAGCUCGGAGGUCGGAUUUGGUAGGAGACACAUCACACUAUCAACCUCAGGAUUUCGGUAUAUAAAGAAACUUUAUUUUGGAAAUCAAUGGCAUGUAUAAGCUAACAAAGUAAAUGUUAACGUGAAAUGAAUGUAAAGUUAGCCAUUAGUAUGGUUAACAAACCUGGUUUUAGAUAUGUGAUGACGUUAUCUUAUAAAUAUGCAUGAAUUUAUCUUGAAAAUAUGUUGAAUUGAUUUGGUUGAUGUGGAUUGGUCUCGAUUUAAUAUUGUGGGGAAGGUUAGAUAUUUAUAAAGGGGCUAUAUUGAAUAUAAAAAAAAAUAAUUCGUAAACUCCGGUAAUGCCUCGUACCCUAUUUCGGCAAUGAAUACGGGUAGGGGUAUUACAUUUAUUGGUAUCAGAGCUACGGUUUAGCCGAUUCUAGGACUGAUGUAGCAAACAUGGGAUUAGCUAUACAUGCCAUUUAAAUUAUUAUUGAUAGUGUGAUAUCUCCUGACCAUUUAAAAUGUGUUUUUCUUAUAGUAAUGUCAUCCGACCGAGCUCAAUCUGAGGAAGUUGGGAGUCAUGCUCCGGCUUUAGUACAAAGAGAAGAAACUAGCAGUAGAAGGCCCGAGACAGAGGGUCGAGGGGAGGAGGCAAAAACAGCCUUCUUUCAAAUGAUGAAUGAAUGGUUUAAUCAAUACAUAAGAACUAACCCUGUAAUGCAGCAAAUUCAAGCUCCCCCUCCUGCUCCUCCACCGGUUCUUGAGAUCCCACAAGGUACAGGUACUGAAUCUGUCAGAAAAGGGAAAGCUCUAGUAGAUAAAAUUCGAAAAUAUAGGGCCGAAGAAUUUCGAGCAGUAGUUGAUGAUGAUUCCGAACGGGCUGAAUUCUGGUUAGAAAACACUACUCGGGUUCUGGAGGAAUUAUCUUGUACACCAGAAGAAUGUCUGAAAUGUGCUGUCUCACUGCUAAAAGCCACAGCUUACCAUUAGUGGAAUACUAAAGCUUCAGUUGUUUCAAAAGAAGAAAUUACAUGGGAAUUCUUUCAGACCGAGUUCAGAAAAAAAAAUAUAUCAGCCAGAGGUUUCUCGAUCAGAAAAGAAAAGAAUUUCUUGAGUUGAAAUAGGGUAACAGAUCAGUAUCUGAAUAUGAAAGAGAAUUUGUUCGAUUGAGUAAAUAUGCUCGAGAAUGGGUACAAUCAGAAGCUGAAAUGUGCAAACGAUUCGAAGAAGGGUUAAAUGAAGACAUUAAACUACUGAUCAGAAUUCUUGAAAUUCGAGAGUUUGCUACAUUGGCAGAGAGAGCUUACAAAGUAGAAGAAUUGAGCAAAUAAAAGAAACAGGCUGAGAGGAAAGCUCGAAUUUUUAGUAAAAGACCGAUGGGAAAAUCCCAGUUUUCUGCUUCAAAGAAAUUGAAGAAGUAUCAGGAUCGUUCUACUUCAGCCAUUGGGUAUUCGGGCAAAGAGCGAGGUUCUCAACGCACUAAUCCAAGGCCUUCUACUCCAUCAGUGACCAGUGUUGGCAGUGUUGGCACUCCUAAACCAAGAUGCUAGUACUGUAAUAAAGCUCAUUUUGGUGAAUGUCGAUUAAAGAGCGGGGCUUGUUACCGAUGUGGUUCUUUUGACCAUUUCCUCAGAGAUUGUCCAGAAAGGGGUGAAAAAGAAGCUGAACAGAUAUUGAAGUUGAGUAAUCCAGUUUCGAGAGGUAGACCACCUUGACCAUCCGGUAAUGUCAGUGGUAGUCGAGGAGCUACAAAAGAUACUGCAGGUAGGCCUGAGGCACGAGCACCUGCUAGGACAUAUGCCAUUCGUGCCAGAGAAGAUGCCUCAGCACCCGAUGUUAUUACUGGUACAUUUUCUUUACUUGAUACUGAUAUUACUGCAUUGAUUGAUCCUGGUUCUACGCAUUCAUAUAUAUGUGUUAAACUUGCAAUUAUUAAAAAUUUAUCUGUUGAACCUACUGAAUUUGUGGUUAAAGUCUCGAACCCCCUGGGCCAGUCUGUGUUGGUGGAUAAAAUUUAUAAAAAUUGUCCAAUAAUGGUAAGAGGUUAUUGUUUCUCGGCUGAUUUGAUGUUACUGCCAUUUGAUGAAUUUGACGUGAUAUUGGGCAUGGAUUGGUUAACCCAGCAUGAUGCGGUAAUAAAUUGUAGACAAAAAUAUAUUGUGCUAAAAUGUCAGAAUGGUGAGUUGCUCCGGUUAAAUCUGAUCAGACAGAGGGGUUAUCUGAUAUGAUUUUGGUAAUGGCAGCACAGAGGUAUGUCAAAAAAGGGUAUGAUGCUUACUUGGCUUAUGUACUUGACACCAAAGUAUCUGAGUCAAAAAUACAGGCAGUUCCAGUGGUAUGUGAAUUUUCCGAUGUGUUUCUAGAGGAAUUACCAGGAUUGCCACCAGAAAGAGAAGUGGAAUUUUCUAUAGAUUUGAUUUCAGGAACUACUCCGAUCUCCAUAGCUCCAUAUCGUAUGGCUCCUACAGAAUUAAAGGAGUUAAAGACACAGUUGCAAGAACUUGUUGACAGGGGUUUUGUCCGACCGAGUCAUUCACCUUGGGGUGCUCCGGUUCUGUUUGUGAAAAAGAAAGAUGGGUCUUUGAGAUUGUGUAUCGACUACCGGCAACUUAAUAAAGUAACCAUAAAGAAUAAGUACCCGUUACCCCGGAUUGAUGAUUUAUUUGAUCAGCUGAAAGGUGCUACUGUGUUUUCAAAGAUUGAUCUUCGAUCAGGUUCAGUUACGGGUAAAGGAGUCAGAUGUGCCAAAAACAGCCUUUAGAACCAAGUACGGGCAAUAUGAGUUUCUAGUUAUGCCGUUUGGGCUAACUAAUGCACCUGUAGUAUUCAUAGAUUUGAUGAACUGGAUAUUCAGACCGUACUUAGACAGAUUUGUAGUAGUAUUCAUUGAUAAUAUUUUGGUUUAUUCUCGGGAUGAAGAAGAACAUGCAGAACAUUUGAGAAUUGUGUUGCAAAUUCUACGAGAGAAGCAGUUAUAUGCUAAAUUCAGUAAAUGUGAAUUUUGGCUUCGAGAAGUGGGUUUUCUUGGACACAUUGUAUCUGCCGAAGGCAUCAGGGUAUAUCCAAGUAAAAUAUCAGCUAUUGUCAAUUGGAAUCCACCGAAGAAUGUAUCUGAAGUUAGAAGUUUCUUGGGUUUAGCUGGUUAUUAUCGGAGAUUUGUACAGGGAUUCUCUAUGAUAGCUUCUCCAAUGACUCGAUUAUUGUAGAAAGAUGUAAAGUUCGAGUGGACUGAUGAAUGUCAACAAAGUUUCAACCGAUUGAAAGACCUAUCAACGAAAGCACCUGUAUUAGUGCAGCCUGAACCGGGUAAGGAAUUUGUUAUUUACAGUGAUGCCUUAUUAAAUGGUUUAGGUUGUGUUUUGAUGCAAGAAGGUAAAGUAAUAGCCUAUGCUUCAAGACAACUUAAACCACAUGAAAGAAAUUACCCAGUACAUGAUCUUGAAUUAUUUGCUAUUGUAUUUGCGCUGAAGAUAUGGCGGCAUUACUUGUACGGUGAGAAAUGUCAUAUUUAUACUGAUCAUAAAAGCUUGAAAUAUUCGAUGACACAGAAAGAUUUGAAUUUGAGACAGCGCAGGUGGCUUGAACUGAUAAAGGACUAUGAUUUGAUUAUUGAUUACCAUCCGGGUAAGGCUAAUGUUGUAGCUAAUGCUUUGAGCCGGAAAUCUCUGUUUGCUUUACGAGCUAUGAAUACCCGGUUAUCAUUGACUGAUGAUGGUUCAAUCCUAGCAGAAUUAAGAGCUAAACCGACAUUUUUACAGCAAAUAUGUGAAGCUCAGAAGAAAGAUGAGAAGUUACAAGUUAAACGGGCACAGUGUGAGUCAGGUAAUGAUUCUGAAUUUCAGAUUGGUUCUGAUAGUUGUUUAUUAUUCAGAUGUAGGGUAUGUGUACCUCAGAAUUUAGAGCUCAUACAGAAGAUUCUACGCGAGGCUCACAGCGGUAUUAUGUCUGUACAUCCGGGGAGUAAUAAAAUGUAUAAUGAUCUGAAAAAGAUGUAUUUGUGGUCGGGAAUGAAACGUGAUAUCUCUGAGUUUGUAUCAAGGUGUUUAAUAUGUAAACAAGUUAAAGCUGAACAUCAGGUACCUUCGGGGUUACUUCAGCCAAUUACUAUACCAGAAUGGAAAUGGGAAAGAAUCACUAUGGAUUUUGUAUCGGGGCUACCUUUGUCUCCGAGGAAAAAAGAUGCUAUUUGGGUGAUUGUUGACCGAUUAACAAAGUCAGCUCACUUUAUUCUGGUACGUAUGGAUUAUUCUUUAGAUAAACUAGCUGAAUUGUACAUAUCUAAGAUUGUCAGGCUACAUGGAGUGCUUGUCUCCAUUAUAUCAGAUAGAGAUCCCCGAUUUACGUCUCGUUUCUAGGACAAAUUGCAAGAAGCCUUGGGUACUCAAUUGUAUUUCAGCACUGCAUUUCAUCCUCAGACAGAUGGUCAAUCUGAGUGUGUAAUUCAAGUAUUGGAAGAUAUGCUCCGAUGUUGUAUACUAGAGUUUGAAGGUAAUUGGGAGAGGUGUCUACCUUUGAUUGAAUUUGCUUACAAUAACAGUUAUCAGUCUAGUAUUAAAAUGGCUUCGUAUGAAGCUUUGUGUGGUAGAAAAUGUAGAACACCGUUAUAUUGGACAGAGCUUAGUGAAAGGAAGAUACAUGGGGUUGAUUUGAUCCUGGAAACAGAAGAAAAAGUAAAGGUUAUUCGGGAUAGUCUAAAAGCAGCUUCCGAUCGUCAAAAAUCAUAUGCUGACCUUAAAUGAAAAGAGAUUGAAUUUCAAGUACGUGACAAGGUAUUUCUGAAAGUGUCUCCUUGGAAGAAAGUCCUCCGAUUCUGUCAAAAGGGUAAACUGAGUCCAAGAUUUAUCGGGCCUUAUGAAAUCAUAGAAAGAAUUGGACCGGUCGCUUAUCGAUUGGCAUUACCACCGGAACUUGAUAGAAUCCAUAAUGUUUUUCAUGUAUCUAUGUUACGACGAUAUCGAUCAGAUCCUUCACAUGUUAUUUCUCUGAUAGAAGUAGAGAUUCAACCGGAUAUGACUUACAGUGAAUAACCGGUCAAGAUAUUGGCACGGGAGACAAAAGAGCUUAGAAAUAAAAAGAUAAAUUUGGUGAAAGUAUUGUGGCAAAAGCACGGGAUUGAGGAAGCGAUUUGGGAACCGGAGGAGACAAUGAGGAAACAAUACCCAAACCUCUUUAUUGGUAAGAUUUUCGAGGACGAAAAUCCUUAAAGGGGGGAGAGUUGUAAUGGCCUAAAUUCAAGAUUAUCGGAACAAUGGUUUCGUAACCAUAGAUCCGAUUUAAAGAGAAAUUUAUUUCAAUAUUUUUGCUUGAAAAUUGAUAUGAUAGGAAAAUCGUAUGAAAAUAUUGAUAGAAAAAUUUUACCAAUUUAGUGAUUAGAUAGAAAAAGAAAUUAUUGAAGAAAUUGGGUAAAAACAAGGUAUCGAGACCUCUAUCUCGUAAAACCGAGUCAAAAAUAAUUUUAUAAAUAUUUAUGAAAUGUUAUUAAUGUGGUAUUAAAAUUUCGUUAGGAAAUUUUAAUGUUUGGGUAGUCAAUUAAAUGAAAAGGACUAAAUUGUAAUAGGUGUAAAAGUUGCUAGAGUAAUUAAAUAGCUUAAGAGUCUAAUGAGAAAGGAUUUAAAAGGCAAUUCGACCCAAAAGUUAUUUGGACUGGACGGCAAGGGUAUGAAAUCAGCAGAAAAAUUGAUAAAUUAAGGGUAAAAUUGGAAUAUUGCAAAAUUAACUAAAUAAAGCUAGGACUAAAUAAGAAAUAUCUAGAUUUCUCUUCAUUUCUCUUCAAUUCCAGCAGCUAAAAACGCCAUAGGAGGGUUCUCUAAGCUGAUAUUUCAUAAUUUUUGCACCAAGUGAGUUAAUCCUUGCCUUUUUCUUGUAAUUUUUGUGUUUCUAAGACUUUUACAACUAGGUCCUGCUAUUAAAUUCAUUAGUUUUUGAUUUCAUGGAUGAAAUUGAAAGUCACCAUGGUUGAGUGCUGUAAUUUUAUGAUGAAAUAGAAUUAAAUUAAAGCUUUAAUUUGUUUAUGAGAUGAUUUUAUUAGGUGAUUUCAAUAGAAAUUGAUUUUUAGGACCUAAUUGUGAAAAUGCUUGGAAUUAAAGUCUAUUGCUAAAAUUCUGAUUCCUAAAGGUUGUAAACUAGUUUAAGGUGAUAGAAUAAAAUGUUAAUUGAUAAAAAUCAGCUCAAUUGAGAGGCUAAUUGAGUAGGGACGAAAUUAUCAUUUAUUAAAAGCUUAGGGGAAAAAUGGUAAUAAACAGCUUGCACAAAAACAGUUUGGACAGCAGCAGUAGACUAACUUUGAAAAAUCACCAUAAAUUUUAGAAAUAGAAUUAGAAGAUUAAAAAAAUAUGGAAUUAAAGCUUAUUGAGUCUAGUUUCUCAUAGAAGAAAUAUUGUAAGCAAUGUAUUUGUAAAUUUUGAGAUAUAAUGAAUUUUGUGAGACAAGGUCAGAAUGAAUUCGGGUUCCCCUGUUCUGACUUUGAAAAAUUAUAAAAAAUUGAAUAAAAAUAAUUAGGGACUUAAAUUUAUAUGUAUAGAAUUAUAAAUGAGUCUAUUUUUAAUAAAAACAAACGAGAACAUCAUUUGAAUUCUGUAUAAAGAGAUAAUUUAUUUUUAGUGAAGAAGGGUCAGAACUGUUAGACAACAGAACAGGGGUGACUUUGAAGAAUAAACUGUACUGAUUGGCUAAACCAAAAAUUAUGAAAAUUUUAUGGUAAAAAUAUAUAUGAGUCUAGUUUCAGGGAAAAUUAACGGAUCUUAAUUUGGAGUUCCGUAGCUCAAGUUAUAAAUAAUUUAGUGACUAUGACUCAAGUAGACAGCUUUGAAUGAACUAUAAAUAAUAGUUGAAUUAUAGAGAAUGUUGCAUAUGAACAUGAAAUGUAUUAAAUUGAUAAUUAAAUUUAUUUAUUUAGAUCCGGAAGAUUCAAAUACGAAGCUAGAUAGAGGAAAGGAAAAAGUUCGGGAUUAGUAGAUUUUUAUUGUUUACAAACAAGUAUCAAGGUAAGUUCGUGUAACUUGAAUUAUAUUCUUAAAUGCUUGAAAUGCAUGUUUUUGAUAUGAAUAUGAUUUGAAUGUUCAUUAUAUGGAAAUUUAUGAAACAUUGAUAUAUUUGAUAAAAUGGGAAGAAAUCCCGUUUGAAUGAAAGGAAAAUUCGAUGGAUCUCUGAAAAGGAAUUGACGGUAAAAAGGAUCUAGUCCGGACGGGUGAUCCUAUCCUGAUAUAGCCCUCCCAAAGAAUAUGUGUAAAAUGGAUUUAGCCCGGACGGGUAAUCCGAAUUAGGGUCUGAAUUUAGCCUGGACUGGUAAUUCAGAUCCAAGCUCAUUAGAGUAAUUGUCGUUGCAGGGGAUUUAGCCUGGACUGGUAAUCCCGACAAUACUGUAUGAGUUUAUAUUGCAGGGGAUUUAGCUUGGACUGGUAAUCCCGCUGCAAGGUUGACGUUCGCGGGAGUGUGCUCUCUGAAAUGGAUAUGUGCGCACAUGAAUAUGAAUUGACGGACCCGAAAUUGUACAAUAAAUGUGUACCUCUGAAAAUCCAUCGAAAUUUCGAUAAAUUCAACGGGAUAAAUAUGGAAAAAUAGCAAGGAAAUGGAAAUCAUGGUAUUGACGAGCUCAUCAAUCAUGGUAUAUAUAUUAUUGAUACAUGGAAAUUAUUGUACUAACUUGAAUGUUGAGUUUGUGCAUGUUAGGGUAAUAAUGCAUUGAAUGGAUAUAUGAAUGUUUAUUAUAUUGUAUUGAAAAUAUUAGGUAAGUAUAAUUCUUGUUACAUGAGCUUACUAAGCACAAAGUGCUUACCCCGUUUCCUUUUUCCCUGUUUUGUAGUGUUAAGAGCUCGGAGGUCAGAUUUGGUCGGAGACACAUCACACUGUCAACCUCAGGAUUUCGGUAUAUAAAGAAACUUUAUUUUGGAAAUCAAUGGCAUGUAUAAGCUAACAAAGUAAAUGUUAACGUGAAAUGAAUGUAAAGUUAGCCAUUAGUAUGGUUAACAAACAUGAUUUUAGAUAUGUGAUGACGUUAUCUUAUAAAUAUGCAUGAAUUUAUCUUGAAAAUAUGUUGAAUUGAUUUAGUUGAUGUGGAUUGGUCUCGAUUUAAUAUUGCAGGGAAGGUUAGAUAUUUAUAAAGGGGCUAUAUUGAAUAUAAAAAAAAAUUUAAUUCGUAAACUCUGGUAAUGCCUCGUACCCUAUCCCGGAAAUGAAUACAGGUAGGGGUAUUACACCAAGCCCUUGAGCUCCUAGAAGCGAUCACACUUCCACUCGCAUAGGUAGAUACUAUCAAGAGUGUUCCCUCAAUUAUAACACUCUUAAUAUAUUUAUGUUAUGGGUUUAUUAAGAGUUUAAUACCCUUAUCCUUUCCUUGUCAUUAUGGGUACUUAACAAUUUUUACAUUGAGAUGAUACAUUAUAUAUUAUUAUAAUACUAGCAGUCACAUACUGAUGAUAUAAUUUGUCUCAUUCAACUUAAGACUUGACAUUAUACCAAGCAUUGAGUUAAGUUUCCAUAAUGGGUGACUUAAAUAUUAUAGUUUUGUAUCGCAUCCCUAAAUUUCUAAAUUUUCAACAUAGUUAUGUUAAUUAUCUAUACCACAUGAUGAAACUUUAUAUUUAUUUGUGUCCUGAAAAUUCAGAAGAUCAACAUCCCACCAUGUUCAAUUAUCCAUUCUUUCGCAAAAAAAUGCUAUCUAGGAUAUCAUUUCUAUUAUUGUCAAAUUACAGUGAUCAUUUUAUCUUUUCUUAUCAUGACAAAUUCAUAUUUGGAUACUUGGUUUCAUAUUUAGAUAUCAAUAAAUAAACAAUGUAUCAUGCCUUUUUCACCAAGUAAGUUGUGUAAAGAGGCCGAAUCCCUUGGUGAAACUAGACAAUAUAUUUGCUAUUGGUUAUAACUUCUUUUCAAAGUCAAUACAUGACUUUAAAACCUUUUUUGCAUUCAUAGUCAAAUAACAUUAUUUUUCUUAACACAUCUUGUAUAUGCAAGGGUGUAAAAUAUAUAGUCAUAUUAAGGGAUGACCAAUUGUUCAAUCAAAUGACUAUAAAAUCACACAUUUAUUCACCAUUCACCAUGGAAUUUUCAAUUAUUUUUCAAUUAUUUUCUAACUAUGAUCAUAAUUAUGUUCAUCACCUAAAUGGGUGAAAUAGCAUUCAUAUUGCUAUUUCCAUACUCAUAAAAUCUUUGAUUCUUUGGGUUCCAAAGUAAAUUUCUAAAUUUAGUACAUUUCAAAAUUUUAUAGAACCACGAGAUUAUAGAUCAUAUCGAAGCCAUAUAUAAAAAGAAUACAUGCACCAUCAUAAAUAUGCACAGCAUGAUCUCAAUUUCAAAUAUAUGAUUAUCACGUUAUAUAUUCUCACUAGAAGAUUUCAUGUUAGAAUAUUGAUCUUAUUAUAUAAGUCAAUAUUUUCCAUUAUUCUAUACUGACUAGAAAUUUUAACCAUAUAUGUGCAUAUGAUUUAUUUCAUUUCCAGUAAAAACCACUUCUAGGCCAAAAUAACAUAAAAAAAAAUCUGUACAAUCAUAUAUAAAACUCAUUUAGCUUAUGGUUAUUUAACAAAAAUAACAACCAAAAUUAUUUAUAUUAUAAUCAUAUACAAACUUUGAUUUUUAACAAUGAAAAUAAUGUUUCAUCAAUAUCACUCAAAUGCUAGUUACUAAUAUAAUGAUUUAAAUAAACAAAUAAAUUCAUAUAUCAAAUUAAAUAUAUAUAUAUCAUAAAAAAGAAAGAAUGUUGUUGUAUUAAAAUUUUCACUCACAAAUUGGAUGGAAUGAAUUAAAUUAAUUCAACAUCAACCAAACAUCUCUAUAUAAUGUACCAAUAGGUACGUAAGUGUCUUUUUAAAAAAUCACAACUUUUCAUGUUUGGAAGUUUAAUCGAAAUAAUAUUAUUUCCUUGCAUUGCUUAAAAAUCUCAUUAACUUCCUUUCUUUCUCCUUUCCAUGAUUGUUAAAAUAUAUGCAUAUGCAUAUCAUAUAUAUAUAUAUCAUAUAUUUAUGUAUCAAUCAUAAUUAUGCAUGUAUACGAUGUGUUUAAUAAACUGACAUGUUACUUUAUCAAAAACUAAUCUAUUAGACACUUUAAUGUACCACUUAUUGCUACAAAGAUUUCUUCUAAAUCAAUAAUAUCUUCUCUAAUUUCUCAUAAAUUGUAAAAAUAGAACUUUAAAAUUAUUGGUGUGUGGGGAUAAUAAUGAACUUAUAAGAAAUUAACGGAGGCUUCAAGGCGUGUAUUAAUGUCACUUUUUUUAAAGUUCUAUUCACCCUCACCUAUAUUAUAGUGUGCAAAAGAUCAGUUAUUGGUAAAUGAAACUCGAUGAUACAAUAAAACUCAAUGAUUGUUUACAUGUUGCACUGACGGAAACAGUUCACUAAACACUGAGAGGAGCAUAGUAAAGAUACAAAUUUUUAUAAAGAAUUUAGAACAAUCUAGGAUGCAGAAAUUCUUUAUAGAUUAAUCUAAGAAUAUAAAAGAUGGUGGUUGAAUAGAAAGAAACGUUUGAUGUGUUUUUUUGGUGUGUUUGACAAAUGGAAUUUAACUUUUAUUUAUAGAAAUUUUCAUGUCUCUUUAUAAGAACACAACUAUCUAAAUAGAUAGUCAUAUCUUUUAACAAUAAACAUAAAUAUUUAAUAGAUGUCUCCUUAAAUAAUCAUGAUUCAUUGUUCAUAAUAAAGCAAUAUAAUUUUUUAAUUUAAGAGACAUACUUCAUCACUAUGAAAUGUGAUAACACUUGGUAAAUAACCAAGACUCUAAGAUUUUCAAGCCUCUAAUCAGAUUUAUGUAUUCGAGAAUAUAAAAUAAAAUUUAUUCUCUAAAGUUUUAAACCUAAGAUUCAGGGAAUUGUAAGAAGCUCUUUUAAUAAAUCUUAAUUGUGUUAAUAAAUAUGUUACUCUUAUUUGUUUAUUAUCAUUGUUUUUGUUAGAACUCAUAUUCAAACCUUUGUCUGAACAUCAAACUGGACAAUGCAUACCAAAGUUUUUAAUCCUCCCCUGUUGAUUUCUUCUAUCAACAAGCAUCAUAGUGGUAACGAAUGCAAUAUCAUCACAACUUAAUCAACUUGCAAGCAAUAUAUUCUCCCAUAGAUAGUGACCAUAUAGACAUAUUUAGGGGCAAGAACUAGGUUACUGUUAGCUGAAAUCUAUUGAAUGUGUUGCACUGCAUUCCCAAAACAAGAACUAGUCUCCCCUCAGGUCAUGUUCAAUUUCAUAAGCAAACAAGUCCAACCCACGCAUAAAUGUUGUAUUGGAGCAAAAUCAAAUUAGAUUAGGUGCUUAAAGAAACGUCAAGGAAUGUAAAAAUUACUCUUUACAAGAAGAAUGAAUUUAAUUGUAAAACAAAAAUAGGAGAAUAAUGCGUUUCAACGUGUUCGUACCCACGUCUUUCUACAUUAACAACAAUGAUUAUGCCAAUUCAGUUAAGACUCGUUCGACUGUUAUUUAUUAUUUAUGAAAUUUAUCAAAUUUAUAAUUUUAAUUUUAGUUAAAUAAGUUUACUUAAUAAGAAAAUCAUCAUAAUUAUAAACAAAAAUUCUAAUUUAAUUAAAAGACUUUUAUGAAAUGAAUUUAUAUAAUAAAUAAAAAAUUUAAGCUUUAUGUUGAGUUAAUUUAUAUUUAAAUUAUUAUGUUUUCAAUCUUCAUUAAUCAAAAAAGGAAUAUUUAUUAUUUUAGUUUUAAAUAAAAAUUUUAAUUAUUUAUACAAUAUGUAACUUUAUAUUCCAUACAUAAAAUUUAUAAAUAAUACAUUUAUAUAAUCUAUUCUAAUCUAUUAUAAAUAUAUUAAUUGUACAUUUCUAGUUAAUUUAUUGACUAUUAAUGAAAGAAAAAAAUAAAAAUUAAAUAAUAUAUAUUUUAAUAUACAAUAUCUUAUUUUUUAUUGUUUGUACAAAUACUUUAAUAAUUAAUAGGAAUUAUUUAUUAGUAUUAUAUCUAAAUGAUCGAAAUAAUUUGUAUAUGUUAAUUAUGUUUAUUAACUAUUAUUUUAAGGCUUAAAACUAUACUCUUUUAAAAAAAAAUCUCUUAAUGAAUCAUUUUAUAACACAUAAAAUUUACAAAAUUAAAAUUAUCUUAAAAAAGAUAAAUAUUAUUUUCUUAAUUUUUUAAAAAAUAAAACUUAUAUCCAUCUAUUUUAUUCUUUACUCAAGAACUUUGGUGACAAAAAAAUUAAGAAUCUGUGAGAAACAUAACUAAGUUAUUUUCUUAUUUUUUUUAAAAAUACUUAUAAAUAUAUUCAUCCAUUUUUUUCUUCACUAAAAAACUUCGAUAAUAAAACCUUUAAGAACUCGACGAAAAACGCAUCCAAACUUAGUUUUCAGUGGCAAACCUUAGAUUUUGACAAACUUCUUUUCUAUUUUUAAAUCUUAAUUUCAAUUAUUUUCUCACUCCGUUAAAAACUCAUGUAUUUAUUUUUGUUAAAAAUAAUUUUCUUCUUUCUUUUUCUAUAUACUGUACACGAAAUAGCUAGGUAAACUUCUACAAUAGAAAACAUAGAUAAAGUCUGAAACUCAAGUACUAAGAAGAAAUUGAGUAAAAAGAAAUGGGAAGAGUAUUGCAAUUAACAGUUAAAAAAAUGCAUUAACAGAAAAGAAAGAAUCGUGGUGGGACUGGAAAGCGUGUAUAAAAUGAAAAGUUUUAAUUUAAACUAAAUUAAUUUAUUUUUUUAUAAUUUUAAUUUUAUUUAUUUUUUAUUUAAUUUUAUUUAAAAGUAUCACUUCUUAUAAAAUGAUUGAGUAGAAUGUCUUUUUUUUGAUGACUAAGACAAUUUGUAUAAUUUAAGUAUCACUUGAGGCAACUGAAUAUAUAAUUUAUGUAACAUUUGUGAUAAAAAAAAUUUAAAUACUAAUUUAAGAAAAAAAAUAUAAUUUAAAUAUCAAAUUAUGAUUUAAGCCUUAUUUUAAAUAAUGUUAAUUUGUAUCAAUUAUAUAAGUAAAUUUAAAAAAUUAUUAUUAUAACAUUUGAAUUGUUAAAUAAAUUCACCUAUUUUAAUUAUGUUGAACAAUUCAGAAUUUUAAAAAUUAGAAAAGAGAAAUUAAAAUCACAUUAAUAUUAGCAAAAAGGACAAAAAUAGCAAUCAUUAUUAUAAAAAAAAACUUUAUAUAUGGUGUGAGAAUUGAGAGUUGAGAGAUAGCGUAGGGGCCCACAAAGCUGACUUGUUGAUGGUAAACAUUCUUUAAUGUCAUAAUCUUUUGCCACGCAACCGAGUUGAGAUUAGCAGAUCAACUCAACUCCAACUACUCAUUUCGAGGCCGCAGCACCAUCUCCCACAAUUAUCUAUCACCUCAGUUCACCACCCCCCUUUGGACUUUAGAUGCCCAACAUCCUUUAAUUACACAACUCUCCCAAUGGGAAAGCGAGUAACAUCAUUUCUCACCCCCAAAGUGCGUAUACUCCGGAGUUUGGAAAUCUUUCUUUGGCAUUUAGAUCUGACAUUCCGUAAUUCUCAAACCAAAUUUUGCAUUGCAUAGUUGUUUUGACAUUAUCAAAGCUUCAAAAACCCAUGCAAAUUGUGUUUAAGGCAAACAAGGCGGUGAAAAAUCAUGUACUUUAUUGAAAGCGAUGAGAUUGUUUAAGCCUGUUUUAAUUCAAUCGAAAUAGUCCCCCACACUCACACUGUCCCAUGAUUGUGAGGUUCGAAUUUGUAGCCCAUUCCACAGACCAAUCUUCUUCACUUCCCCAACUUCCAUGCUUCAUAUUAACCCCCUUCAUCUCACCAUGUGCCUAUUUUUGGUUCUACUCUUUUCAUGGCUGAAUAUGCUUGACCCAUCUUUGGGGAAAGAUGGGUAUGUUUUGUGUAGUUAAUGUUUUUAGUAUUUCUGAGAGGAAGCCAUGAAUGUGAUUCCUUUAAAAAAAAAGACCUCUUCAGUCUCCAAAUAUUCUCUCUGAAGCAAGUAAAGUCAACAGGAGGCAAUGUUACCUCUACUUUUAGUUUGGUUUACUCUCGUAUCUCUUAAUCAACCAGCCAUCUGUUUGGAACAUCGUCAGCAACUGCAACCAGUUUUGCUUCCAAAUGGGUGCGAUGACAAAUGCGGCAGGUUGCACAUACCAUUUCCAUUUCAUCUGAACACUUCAUGUGCCUCUGUUUCCAAUGCUUUCCAUCUUUCUUGCUUGAAUUCAACCACCCUUUACCUCCACAUCGGCAUUCAAAGCUACCGAGUCCUUGACUUCUUCUCUGAUGGUAUACUCGUAGACUUUCCUGGAACUGGAAGCUCCACUUGUCGUCAAUACAACGGCUUGAAUUUCUUCAAUUUUGCGGGAAACGACUACUUGGGAAUAUCUGAUGAUAAUGUGAUAGGUCUAUAUGAUUGUGAAGACUCGUCACUUUGUAAAGCAGAUUGUGAGACGAACGAGUUGCCUGAUUGUGAUGGAAACAGGGGUGGAGCCCUGGCAUGCUGUUAUCCACUUUCUGAUCAUAGCAAUUGGCAUUCAGGGGAUGGGUUUUCGAGUUUUGCCAAGUUUGGAUGUAGGGGGGUUUCGUCGUGGAUAGUUCCGAGGGGAACCAACAGUGGGAAGCGGGGGAUUAAGUUGGAGUGGGCAAUUCCUAGAAAUAAAUCUCAAGGACUUUGUGCCAGCAAUGCAGUUAUGGUGAGUGCUACAACAGUUGAAGCAGGGGUCAGGUGCUCCUGUCAGGAUGGGCUUGUCGGUGAUGGAUUUGCAAAUGGACUCGGAUGCUUCAAGUGUGAGUAAUCUAUUAUUUAUUUAUUGAUUAUCAUCUUUAUUAAGCAAGUAACAUUGAUAAUAUUCUCAUCUUGGCUGAUUAAAUUAGGCUGAUUUGUAACUAAAAUGAUAUUACUUAACUAUUUAUCAAUUAUUCCUUUUUUGGUAUCCGUCUUUGACAGCCUGCAUCAAGGAGGGGCAAGAAGCAUAUGGUGGGGAAUGUGACAACAGCCCAAAACGUACUCAAAAGAAACUUGUAAUUGUGGCUGGUAUGUUAUCAGGAGAUAUCAUUACCGUUAUAAAUCUUCUCUAUCUAUGAUGAUUUCGAAGCCAAAUCACAUCAUACAAUAGGCAUGAAUGUAUGUAUAUUUGUGUGUGUAUGUGGUCAUUUUAGUUUCUUUGGUGAAUGGAAUUCAACUACUUGUUGCGAGAAUUAAUAUCUUUAUCAUUUUUGACAUUCAGGUGUUCUUGCUCCAGUUUUCAUCCUUGCCUCCUUAUUAUUGUUCCUUUGCAUAUUGAAACGACCUGUUAAAUCAAGUGCAUUUGAUAUAGACCAGGCUCGUUAUCAUAGUACCAUUUCAUUUCGGAAAGCUUGUAGGACUAGAUUAUUCAGUUACAGAGAGCUAGACGAAGCAACCAGAGGAUUUGACGAUGGUCAGAAGCUCGUAGAUGGAACAAAUGGCACAAUUCAUGCUGGAGUCCUUGGAGAUGGUUCACAUAUAGCUGUGCAGAAGGUGCAGUGCGAGAAUGAAAGAGACCUAAUUCAUGUCCUAUCCAGAAUUGAGCUUCUAUCAGCUGUUUUACAUAGGAAUUUAGCCCGACUCCUCGGGUGUUGCAUUGAAUCUGGUUACACCUUGAUGGUGGGCUAUGAAUAUCCUGCAAAUGGCACCUUGGAGGAACAUCUGCAUAACAACAGUGGACAAGAAUUUGGCCUUGACUGGUAUAAGAGGCUAAGCAUAGCUGCUGAAACUGCAAGCAUCUUAGCAUACUUGCAAUGUGAAAUUUCUCCACCUAUCUUUCACCAUGGCCUCAAAUCAUCCGGAUACAUAUUUCUUGACGUGGAUUUCUCAGUUAAGGUCGCAGGGUUUGCACUGCUUUGCUCUAGCUCCACCACUGGCCCCCAUGUGCAGAAAAACGAUGUGUACGACUUCGGACUGCUUUUAUUAGAGAUAAUUUCAGGCUCCAAACAUUCAGACAUGCCUUCACUAGCCUUGCAAAAGAUUAAAAGUGGGAAGCUUGAAGAAAUAGUGGAUCCAUCUCUUUACUACCACGAGCAGCCUAUAUUUCGAAGAGAGCAAAUAGAGAUAGUUGCAGACAUAGCAACCAGGUGCUUGUUGUUCGGUGGAGAUGGCAAAAUUGGAAUGGUUGAUGUUGCAAAGGAGCUGUUUCACCUUGCAAAAGAAAGCACCGAUGCAGGAAGUAAAAAGGGAAGUGCAUUGGAAGAAACAUUUUCAAAUUCAAGCCUGCUUCAGAUGAUAUCCAUGUCUCCUGACUCUGUACAUGUGCCUCGAAUUGCAGGACCUGUUUGAUAAAAUCAGCUUGUUCGUCACGUAAUGGCUGCAAAUAUGCUAAAUUAAGUUACCUGCAUUCCUGUCUAUACAAAUUGUGGAUUUGGGAACUUGUUUUGUUGAUUUACAGCUGCUGCUACAUAAUAUGUCAGUAACAUGGUUAUGCUUGUAUUUUCAAAAUCAUGAAAUGGAAAUUUCUGAAACAUGUAUCAGUAACUAAGAUUUAAAACUUAUACUUUCUCAUCGCAAUUUCCCCACUUUUUUUUUUCUUUUGUUCUCGUUACAACUUAGUUUUUUUUUUUUUUUGACAACCUUAGUCGAGGUUUUGAUUUAUUUGAAUGUUCUGUGGAACAACAGUUGAAACCAAUGAGUGGGUACAAAAGUACUUUUCUAGUUAACUUGCCAAUUGGCUUAGAUUUUAUGUUCUGUGGAACAACAGUUGACUUUUCUAGUAAUUUUUUUAUUUUUUUGAAAUAAUUAAAGUAUUUAUAUAACCCUUCUAAUACAUUAGUUUUGUUUUAAGAUUUUAGUCAUUUAAUAAUUUCUCAAUUGAAUUAUUAUCCAAUUAAUUUCUAAUUAAAUAAUAAUAUAAAUAUAAAUUUUAAAAAAAAUAAUGUAUUAACUCUUUUUUAAAGAAAAAUUACAUAUUCCUCAAAACACUAUUCACUUUUCUAAAAGAAUUUCCAUUUAAAAAAAGAAAAGAAAAGGAAACCACCCAUUUAUUAUAUAUUUUUCAUCUAUAAGGUGCACAUUUAUAUUUUUCACCCAAAAAAUAACCAUUUAUUUUAAAAAAUACUUCUUUAUAUUUCUUUCAAAAUAUAACUAUGUUUUUAAAAAUAAUUUUUCAUCCAGAAUUAUGAGUUCUAAUACAGUAAUAGAUAUUUUAUGUUGUGGAAUAAAACUGGUGUCUUAAAGAGGGAGGGAAAACGAAAACGAAAACGAAAACAGAGGUAUGGGGCUUGUCUGGGCUUAAAAUUUGAUUGGGUCAGAAACGUCAUCUUGCACUGAUCGGUAAGCCGCCCAGCCUAGGGGUCAGGAAAACUGGCUGUACGUCCGAAUGACCAUGGGCCUAGACCCUCCUCACUGUUUGGGUCAACUUCAAAAGUAAUAGCCAUUUAGGUUAUAGGUAAUAAUAGUAGGGGUAAUGAUUUAUUUAACAUUCUAGCUUUAUAAAAAAAUUAUUUUAAUUUUUCAUUUAAUUUUUUAUUUUUUAUUAUCUUUAAAUUUGUAUUUUUUUAUCAAAUUAUCUCUUAAAUGGAUGAAAAAUUAACGUAUUUUAAUUUUGUUAAUGUGGCAUACACAUGAAUUGUCGCAUAGAUGACACAUCAAUAUUUAAUUAUUUUUUGAAAAUUUUAAAAAUAUUUUUUUUAUAUUUUUAUACUUUUUAAAUAAUUUUUAAAAAGCUUUAAAUAAUUAAUUAAACACUGAUGUACCAUGCAUAUGGCAACUCAUGUGUAUGCCGCAACAGCAAAAUUAACAAGCAUUAACUUAUUUAUCUAUUUUGGGGUGUUUGACAAAAAAAUAUAAAUUAAAAAUUUAAAAAAUUUAAAAAAUUAAAUAAAGAAUUUAAAAUAAUUUUUUUAUAAAGUUAUAGGUCUAACUCAUAAUGCCUUAGUAGUAUAAGUUUUAGUAUAGUGAGCAUAAUUGUGGUUAGCGAGUAAGCAUAUAUUUUCAGGCAAAUGAUGAGUGUGAGGUUAGAACAGACAAGAGAAAAUCAAAGAUCCCACAUGGACUGUAUAUAUUUGUUUGUAUAGUUGAGAGCUUGUCGUGACAGGAAAAGAUUAAAAAAAAAAUGUGGACGUGAGAGCAACUUAUAUAUGCAAGUACCAAGCAUGCUGCAUGUAGGUCGAAAAUAAGAAACGAGAGUAAAUUUUGGUCUUAAACUGAGACCAUAGGAUUGUGAUGUUAAAAAUAAGUCUUAGGCUUAGUUUUGAUGAGCGAUUAGGUGCGGUGCGUUUAGCUUACUUUUUGUUUCACGCUACAGUAUUGUUAUAAUAUCUAAUCUCAUCGCCACCGCUAUUUUUACACUACACACCGCCCAUCCAAAUUUACCCUUAGUUCUUUCUUGUUAUAUAAUACCCGUCCUCCGAAUCUGAAACCAAAGCCACGUGAAAUAAAGUGCACGAAUACCCACCAACACCAUAGUUUUUCAAACUGCAUCUCCGCCACCCUUUCCUUCACAUUCUACUAAACAUCAUUAAUAAAAAAUAAAAUUGACAGUGAUUAACUAGUUAUUGUGGUAAAAAUCUUUUUCUAUAUUUUUAUCCAGAUUAAUUGUUGAAGUUUCAUCAUCACUAUAAUUAUAUGGGCUUUUUACCUUGUCCCAAUAAAAAAUUCUACAAGCUGACUUACAUCACACAAUGGGUCUUUAAAAUGUAGUAAAAUAGUAACAUAAUAAAAUAAAUAUAUUUGGCAACUUAAUUCAUUUAUUGAAUUUUUUUUAAAAUUUAUUCUAUGAAUGAAAUCAUACAAUUUAAAAAAAAAGAGACGAAAAAACAUUUGUUAUAGGUGGUGAAGAACAAACUCCAUUAAUACAAUAAAGGUUGAAGCCUCAGCAUUAAUAAAACAUUAUGACACAUUGACAGUUAUCUCUGUUAUAACUCAAGUACAAUAAAUCAUCUUAAUUAUACAUGUAAUAAGAUAUAUUGAUGGCAUAUUAUAUACAUGUAAAUAGUUUUGAUUAAUGCUAGUGUGAUUUGAGUUUUUGACAAGGAUAUAAACCGUAAAAAAUAAAUUGAUGGAAAGACAAUUUAAAAAAAAAAUUGAUGCAAUUUGGGUAUAUAUAAAAAUUUUUAAGUUUUUAUUUAAGUCGUAAAAAUUACAUAUCCUCGGACUCUAAAACCAAAGUCACAUGAGAAAUGUGUAUUAUUCCAAAUUAAGACCCACCAAGACCUAGUUUUUCAAACUGCCAGUCCAUCACGCUUCCUUCACAAAAUGAUCGCAAUAAUUAUAAAUAUACGUGUGAUGUGAGGUUUUGACAGGGAUAUAUAAACUAUGAAUAUGAUUGAUGAAAUUAAAGACCCAAUAUUGAAAGAUUCAAAGUAAUUGUCUUUUCAAAACAAGUGGUUUAGAUAAAAGGGUGGAAGUUAAUGGAGCAGGGAGUCUUAUGGUUGGGGGCAUCAAUUUAUGCGUAAUGCAUCUAUUCUGAGUUGUUUUUUUUUUUUCAUGGAGAGACAAUUAAUCAACAAAAGACAGAAUAUGAUCUAUUCUGGACUGUAAUAAAUACCAAGAGAAAAAAAAAUCUCGGUUAAUCAAAGAUCACUUGCUACAUAACAAACUCCAUAUCCAUCCAUUCAGCUCUGGAAGAAACUUCAAUUAAGUGACAUCUAAUCGCUUCCAGUAAACCAAAAAGCUCGACCGAAUUUAUGGUUGCAUGCACCUUGCACGAUAUAUAUAUGAAUUAUGUUGACAGCUCGAUUGAUUUGAAUACAAAAAGGUUCAUGAAAAGGGAUAAACUUUAUGUAGUUUUUGCACCCGAAAACAUGAAUAAACGAAAAGAGAGCUUUAGCUACCUAAUGGACUAAAGGGGUGUCUAAUGUUUAAAAAAAAAAGGGGGACCAAACUCAGUCAGGCAUUUUACUAUAUAUAUAUAUGCUGCUAAACUGUAGUAUAAGCAAGUAGGUACCAGGGUAUUCUUUCAAGUUCCUUGACAUAAAGGUCCAUUGUUUUAGACACUUGUAUUUGCAAUACCACUAAAUGAUUAAUCUCUCAAACUAGACAGCAUAGCCUAUAUGGAAUUCAUUUGUAUGUGUAUAUAGCAAUCUUAUCUAGCUUGCUUUACUUUACUUUUUCUGGUAUGGGGCAUGCCAGUUGUCGUUUCCCUAGUUUUAAUUUCCUAGGGGGGAUCUAAGUUUUAUCAGUUAGAGUAAUUAACAAGAUCCAUUAAUUAUAUCAGCACUAUUUUUUUUCAAUAUUUUUAUCACACAAAUUAUAGCUAGAUCCUUAACAUUUAAUUAUAACCAAAGAAAAGAAAUCCCCACAUUAUGGCAGUGAAUCAGGGGGAGAGUGUGAGUUGUUGAACUAAAAGAAGUAACAAGAAAAUGAUGGUCUCUGGACAAGGUAAGGUUACACACAUCUCUGAAGAUGAUAGAGAGAUAAGGGGGACAAAAGGCCAGCAAAAGAAUUAUGAUUUAUGAAACAAAAAAAACUAUAUAGCGAACUGGAUCGGGGACUGAGGAGGGAAGAAGAGAGAGCCGAGAAGUGGUGGGGGUAACCCUAAGUAAGAGUGUGGUCCUCACCCUAUGAUAUAUAUAUAUACACACACACAUGCAUGCAUGCAUGCAUACAUUCAUAUAGAUAACCUGUUGUGUCUGAAACCACACAGUUGCAACUCUAAAUACAAUUUUAAUUACCAGACAGUAAUUAAUAAAGAAAUAAAUUGGUACUACUACCACUAACAUAUUAAUUUAUUACCUGUAAAGAAAGCAGUAUGUGCAAAAGCAAAACGAUAUACAAAAUGGUGGAGGACUGUGAGGAGCUUUCAUCUGAUCUGAAUACAAGAUGAAAGAGAUAAAAAAAGAGGUCCCCCAAUAUAGGGUUUUGGAAAUAGGUUGCUUUAGCUUUUACAAACAAAGGCACGGGCCUUAUCAGUUUUUGAUGUUAACUUAUGAGAUUUCCUCGUAAAUUCCUCGGUAAACGUAACUUACGGACCUGUUUGCUUAAUUAUAGCCAUAAUAUUCAUAUGUGUUGGACUAAGAAGAGUAGCUGUGAGAUGAGCCCUUUUUUUUUUUUUUCUUAAGCACCAUCAAUGCACUCCACUCUUUUAUACAUUGUACACCCAACUAUUGAGUGUAAAGUAAGUUGAGCUUCCUCCAUUUGUUUGCCUCUUACAGUUUCCUUCGUUCAUUUUUAACCAGUUACCCUUCAGAUAGAAAAUUCUUGUGUAAAUCCCUUGUAUAUUUGAUUUUUUUUAUCCUAAUCAUGUUCAUGAUAUUAUAUAUUUAUAUAAAUUUCAAUACAUUUUUUCGGUAAUACAAUACAUGAUGUUCGUAUGUUGUUUUUAUUACUUUUACAUACCGUUUUAUGUACUAUAUAUUAAUUUAUAUAAUUCUUAUAUACCACGAUCUUGUUCAAAACACUCCACCAAAUAAACCACUUGAACAAAACAACACUUACCUAACUAAAUCUCUUAUAUGUUUGUCAUUUAGAUCAUAGCUAUAUCAUAAUUUUACCAUCGGCUCUACAAAAUAGGAUCAACUCACGUCUCAUCACAUUUUAAUAAAAUAUUCAUAACAUAUUGGCAACAUUCUAUGGUCUUGUUACCAACCUUACAAAGUAAGACACCGAGCCAAAUGGGAUCACAUCAGCAUUCAUGUUUAGGAUGCAUAUAAUUGAUCUCAUAAGUUUACAUAUAGGAUAUUUGAAGGUGUGUUUGUUAUGAGAACAAGUACAUUGAAUAUGAUCCGUUAGGAGAGUCAAUUUGGUUUUUCACUCAAGUGUUUAUGGAUACUUGCUAUUGUCUCAUAUGUUAAUAAUGUAAAUAAUGCUUUAAGAAGUAUUUGGUUGGGUGGAAAUUUUGAGGGAUGGAAGGAGGAAGUAAAAAAAUGAAAAGAAAGUAAAUUUUGAGUGUACUUGAUAAGUAAGAAAAGUGAGAUAAAAGAAAAUCAUAAAAAUGAUUAUUUUUUAUCCUAAUGCAUAAAAAUAAUCUUUCCAAAUUUGAAUGACUAGAGGUGAGAGAAUGCUAGAGAGAUAUAUAUUAGUUCAAGAUUAUGCAUUUUUCGAAUUUUUUUUUUCAUUUUUAUCUUUACCAAGCAAUAGAUGAAUAAAAAAUUACUUUCUCUUUCAAUUUUUCUUUCUUAUUAAACACACUUAUAAAAAGAAAAAUUAUAUUUUCCAUAUUCAAUUUUUCAUCUUUCUAAUUUUCUUUCUACACUAUCAAGCAAAGCGUUAGCUUUCAAGUCCCUUACUGAAAAUCUUACCAUAGUUGAAUCAUCCUUAGCAUUUCCAACUUUUUGUCAAUGGUAAUAAUAAGAUGCAUAUAAGAUAAUGGAGCAUCCUCCCUCUCUAUGGUACUGCAUUAUAUCGUGCAGCUUGAGCUACAUCCACGUGCCAUUUUGAUUUCUGUUGAAGGAAAUUAAAGAUUAAAAGUUAUGUAUGGUUUGUGUUGAUUCAGAAAUGCAUGUACAUGGGUAUUACUUAUAUCUUUGUGUAUUUGUAAUAAUUCAAUACCAGUAAAGAAAUAUGCUUAUUAAGCAUUAGAUAUGAUAUUGGGUUUACAAUUGUGUUCCUAAAAACAUCACAAAUAUUAUUACUUAUGUCUUUUAAAUGUGUUCCUUGCACAUAUUCCUACCCUACAGCAUCAAAACUAGCUGGUUGGAGUUAUAAAUUUACUAAUAUUAUAUCAUAAACAUCUGAACCUAUUUCAAAUAUAAUUUAGAAAUAAAUCAUUAAAUUUUCAUUUCUGAAAAUAUAUAAGUAUAGUUACUUCUUAUAAUUUAAAAAAAAAAAAACAAAGAGUAAAUGAUGGUUGUCCCGAAUGGUCCAGAGUCCAGACAAGUGGGGCUACUGAUUUUUGUGGACACUAAUUGCAAGUGUGAAAAUUAAAUUUGGCAUGCAAUGCCAAUUAAAUUCCCAACCCAAUAGCUGUGGCUUGCCCUGCCGUCUGCCGACUGCCCGGUCCGGCCGCUACAGCUUCUUACAGCUGCACCUUUUAAAUUAACGAAACAAAUGCAUAGAUUCUUCGUCUAAAUUAUUAUUUUAUUUUAUUUUUCGAGUUAUAAAAUUAAAUAUUUUUAUUUAAACCAUUCUGCUUAAAAUAUGCCAAAUUUUAAUUAUCAUUCAUAUACUUUUUCUAUGUUGGGAAUGUAAAUGACACACAUCCUUAAAACUUGUUGUAUAUUGCAAUAGAUUAGAGUAGAGUAGUAGAGUAGAGUAGAGAUAGCUAAUUAAACUGUGUGUUUAAUUACGGUAUAUAUAUAUAUAUAUAUUCUCAAAAGUAGGUUAAUGAAAGCCAUUAAUUAUUUGUUCUAUAAAUUCAAGAAAAUACAUAUAUUAUGUGGUAUUAGUGAAAUUCAGAUUUGGACCACGUUAAUAAUGAAUAGCCACAUCCACCUGCUGAUGACUAAUUAUGUUUUGAUGAAACCAAAUUUCAGUGUAGGUUUUAAAUAUUAUCAAUUCACACCCAAGUCUUUGUCUAACCCAACCUUCUCUAUAUUUUGCGAUUUCUUUUCUAAUAUUAUUUUUUUCUGUCAUUAUUAUUUUGGGUGAAUAAUUAAAUACAUUUUCUAUCCCCCCAGCACCCCACACUUUUAAGCUCUUAGUUUAGAUAAAAAAAACUUUUGUAUGAGUUUUUUGAAAAAUAUUUUUAUACAAAAAUUUUACAUUAUUUUCACUAUUCUAAAAUAAAAAAUAUUUUUAUAUUAUAAAAAAUAUAAAUUAAAUAACAAUUAAAAUUUAAUUAAAAUUUAAAUAAUCAUAAUUUUUAAUUUAUAUUCUAUAAACCAUCCAAACACGUAGAUAGAAUAAAUUUUUCAAUUUUUCUCAACUCUACCAAAAUGAAUUUAAAAAUUUAAAAAUAAAAAAAAAGAACUUGAAAAAUCAAAAAUCAAAUUGAACCGAAUCGAAUUAUGAUGAUUGAUUUAAAAAUAUAUAAAAAAACUCGAUUGAACCAGAAUAUUUAAAUUAAUUAUUUAUGAAAUUAUUUAUACUUAUUGAUUUACUUAAAAAAGAAAACUCUUCUUGACUACCAAAAUUACACAUGACUAAAGGUGUAUUUUGAAAUUCAAAUUUAAAAACUGUCUACCGAAGUCCCACUCCACUCUUUUCAAGUUCUAAUAAGUGAUUUACAAAAAAAAUUGAUCAUUAUAAUCAUUGAUUCUUUCUUAGAAAAAAAAUCAAAUCAUUAAAGUUUCAUUUUAUUGGUGUUUAAUUUUGUUGUUGCUUUUCUAGAUUUUUUUUUUUAUCAUUUUGGCUUAAUAUGUUAUUUGAUACUUAAGUUUAAAUUUUUUUAAUGAUACAUGUGUUGCUUUUUUUUAGAUCUCGUAUAUUUAUUUAAUAAAAGUUCUAUUUUUUAGUACCCAAAAGUAAUGAUGUUAAAAUUUUAGUGUUUAAUUUGAGCUCUAAGAUUGAUUUGAUGAAAUUAAUUGUUAAUAUUAUUAGGUUUGAAUUCUUCAUGACAUUGUUAAUAAAAUAAAUUUAAUGUUAAUUGUGAAUUUAUCAACUGCAAUCUAAUGAAUGUGAUUUAAUUUGGGUUUUAGGGUUUAUUUGAUGAAGUUAAUUGUUAAUAUUAUUAGGUAAUUAUGAUUUUUCAUCAAAUCAACUCUAAAACCUAAACUUAACACUAACAAGUUAACAUUGUCACCUACAAGCAUCAAAAUGUAUAACUUUUGUCAAAUACAAAUACCGCAUUGGAUCAAAAAAUAAUACAAGUACGACAUUAAAAAAAGUGUCAAACUCAAGUACCAAAUUAUGUAUUAAGCCAUUCAUUUUUAUUAAAAAAAAACUAAUGUAAUAUUUUAUUUUAUUUUUUGCUAAAAAGCUAAUGAAAGUACAAAAAAUAAUAAUUGAUAAAUUCAACAAUUUAAUUAUUAAAAUAAAAGUUGUGAAAGUAAUAAGCCACUCCCUCUAUUUUAUUACAUAUAAUUUAUUUUAUUUAAAAAAACACAUAAAAACAUGCAGUAAUUACUAAUUGUUUGAAUCAUAAUUCAUGUACAUAUUAACUAAAGUGAUGAUAAAAUAUGUUGAUCAACUUUUGUUAAAAACUAUCUUGAAUCUUAAAUAUUGCCUUUUUUAACCAAAAAAAUGUAUGUACAUAUAUAUAUUCAAGUUAUGCUUGGGCUUAUUGUAGUAAGCUUGUGGUUAGUUGUUAUAAUUUUGGAGGGUAGGACCAUUUAUCCCUCUCUAUAGUUUGAGCUAAUCUUAUAAUUGUCGAGAUAUUAAUACUAGUAUUCAGCCGAAUGUAGUCACAAUAAUUAGCGAGUUGCAAUUUAUUCCAGUACAUUUUUCUGUCAGCUGAAAGUCAUAAUUGAAAUCACUUGCCGUCUUAAUUGGAGGCAGUUCAAAAAGUCAGAAGGUAAAUAUUCCAGGGUACAUGCAACUGUAAUUGGUACCAAAAUAUAAAACGUCGCUGUAAUUAAGUACUCUUUUUGGAGUAUUAUGGGAGUGUUUGUAUAACCAUUAAGAUUUAUUAAGGGUAAUUUAGAUAUUUUAUAAAAAAAUAUUUUCUUAUAAAUUAUAAAUUUUAUUAUUAUAUUUUAGUUAUUUUUAUAUUAUUUAAUUUAAUUGUUUUCAUUUUUAAUUCAUUGUUAUCAUUUUAGACUCGCUUGUGGAAUUUUUUUACCUACUUGUGGAAAAAACACUCCCUACUUGAAGUAGGAUUAGGGUGGUGACACAUCCCGAGUAUUCCUACUAGGGUUGUUGCCCAUUCAUUUUCCAUGAAGGGAUUUUGGGCCUCUCUCAUAUCUAGUCCAAUUAUAAGUAUUUUCUCAACUUUUCGACUCAAUACUUUAUAAUCUAAUCCAACUCAAUUAUGUUUUUCUAUUUUUCAAAAUUAAAUUCAAAAUUUAUAUAUUUAAUUAAAUAUUUUUCUCAUCCCAAUUUUACCUUGGUAAAUUUAUGAUGAUUUUACCCCUAAUAAAAUUUUCGAAAAAUAUAUUUAAUAUUUCACCAUUCAACUUGUUCACUAUGAUGAUAUUGUUUAUUUUCAUUUUCGGGCUUUAAAAUAGCUUAAAAACAUAAACUUAACCUUCUGAUCUUUUUUUUUAGAAUUCCUUAUUCCUUAUUCAUUUCUCAUUUUCAUUUCUAUUUUGAGAAAACCACAUUUAUUUACAAAUGAUUUUGUACAGGCCCAAUUUUGCCCGGCCAAUUUAAACAAAAACCAAAAAAAAUAUAAAAAUAAUAAAAAUAGUCCAUUUUACAUAAAGCCCGAAUACAAGGCCCAAAUCUGACCCAUUUUAUAAACAGACCCUAAACCCCUAACCCAAUCGGCCCAAUAGGCCCAGUGUCCAAACUGGGUCUCAACUAGCCGAAACCCUAGCUACCCUCAGCGCCGCGCCUCCCUUCUGCUGCCCACGUGCUUCAGCAGCGCAUUCGACGCCCGAGGUUCUGCUCCCCAUUGUCCCGUUGCACCAAAACGACCAUCUACAGCCCAUUAACCUUCGUGUACCUGCAAAAUAGAGCAAAAAAGGAAAACAAAAGAGGACAAUAGAGCAAAAAGGCAAAAUAGAGCAGAAACGAAGCAAAAAACAAGCAAAGCAUAGACAGUAGCAUAGAGGAAAUCAAUUGUAUUUUCGGCUAUAAAGCCCAAACAGAAAACAGAUUGUUUUUUUACACAUGCAUACUGAAAUACAAAAAAGCAACUAAAAAUCGAAAGGUGACUUUGAACGUCUUGUAUUUCUUUCUUUUUUGAAUCUGUUUCGUCUUCUUUUUGCAUUUGUUUUUUGGUAUAACGAAAUAAAACAGAGGGCUUACCUCGUGAAUGAGCCACUGGAAUCUAUCAUCUUCGUCGGCAUCGAAGUUUGAAGAGAUUUCAAGGCUGAAAAAGCAACCCGAGGCUCGGGCGGGCUGGUCGCAGUUCAUGGGGGCAGAUCGGCGCCUAGAGGAAUAUUUAAGGAUCGGCUGAGAGGGAUAAAAUGGGGGCUAGGGUUUCCGUAAAAAAAACUGAUGGUCUCAUUUGUUUUCUUAAAUGUUAUAUUUAUAAUAUGGAAGAAACGACGUCGUUUUAAGCCAGUUUCAAUGGCUUCCAAAACGGCACCGUAUAGGAUACCCGAUUUGACCCGACCCGAUUGCCUUUGGGAUCCGCGUGUUUCUGCAGUGAGGGGAUAAUUACACGAUGGGUCCCCCUUUCUCGCAUGAGCAUUCAAUUGCGCCUCGCUUGUUUUGCUUCAUUUUUUUAAUUUGGUUCUAUAGUUCGCGCAUGUUUGCAAACGGGUUCGUGCCUUAACGCAGCGUUUUGGGACCUGGAAAAUUUCCAGAUUUGAUCCUUGUGAAUUCACACGCGUCGCACGUUGGUCCCUAUUGUCUUCCCAAUAAUUUGUUUUAUUUACAGAUUAUCCCUUUUAUUUUAAAUUUAUUUUAAUUAAGUCUGUUAUCUAUACAAUGCUUAUUUUUUAAGGAAUUCGCUUAAACCUUUUAUGUAUCGAGAUUAUUUUAUUUAUUUUAUUUUGUAAAAAACAUCAUUGCUUUAAAAUUUUCAUGUUAUAUUAUCCUAACAUUUUGUACAAUAUUCCAUUUAAAUAUUUUUGUAUAUAUAUUUGUACACGUAUGCUAUUUUAAUUGAACUUUCCAUUUAAAAUACUCAUUACUUUAAAGUUCUUAAUAUUUUCAUACAUGUGUUGACCUAUUUUGAUAACUUUAAUUUGUUUUUAUAAAAUCAACAUUUUUAAGUUCUUUUUAUAUUAUAUUAACAUUUUUUGUAAUAUUUCAUUCACACGUUUUUAUGUUUGUACAUGUAUAAUUUAUAGUAAAAUUAGUUUAAUCUUAUAUACAUAUUUAAUCCCAUGUUAUUCUCGCAUAUAUUUUUUUCUAAAUUUAUUUAUGUAUAUAUAUGUUUUUAAAUCUAUUAUAUAUAUAUAAGUGUUUCCUAAUCUCAUAUCUUAUUAUAUAUUUUUUACUCUCCUUUUAUAUUCUAUGUAUAUUAUUAAUCUUAUUUUAUUUUGCACACGUAAUUUCUUUUAAAUUUAUUUACAUAGUAUGUAUUAAUGUUAUUUAAAGAAAAAUCUCACAUGUCUUAUGUUUUUUUUACAUUAUUAUUAUACGUAUAUAUAUAUAUUGGUAUUUAUAUUUGAUUUAUACAUCAUUAAAUUCGUGUGUUUAUACAUAUAGUUUUCUUAUUAUGUAUAUAUAUAUUUUUUAAAUCUGUUACAUAUAUGACUUAUGGAAAAAUUGGUUUAGUCUUAUAUACAUUAUUAAUUUCAUGCAAAUUUUUUUACAACAAAUAAUUCCCAAAUCUAUUUAUAUAUAUAUGUUUUGUGAACCUAUUAUGUAUAUUUCUUAAAGUUAUAUCUUAUUAUGUAUCCUUGCUAUACUUUCACAUUCUACAUAUUAUCAAAAUUUUCUUUAUUAAGUGUAUUUUAAUAAACAUUUUUACAUGCAUAUAUUAUUUGAUUUAAAAGUUUUCAUUCUAUAACACAUAUUUUAAUGAAUGCAUAUAUAUCUUUAGUUUGUUUUUACAAAUAGUUUCAAAUUCAACAAUUCAUUUAUAAUAUAUUAUGUGUUCAUCCUUUUAAAUUUGUCUCAUACAUUUUUUAAUUUUCAUGUUGUUUUGCAUAUUUGGCAUUUAAUUGUGUUGUAUUAGGCUAUGUAUAUUAUCAUUGUGUAUUAUUUCCGUUUUUUAUUUCUAUUAUAUGGAUCAUUCUUUAUUCAUGCAUACAAAAUUGAUAAUAUUUUUCUUAGAUUGGUUGAAUUUAAUUGUUUAUUUUGUUAGUUGAUUAAAUGAAUUAUAUUCAUUCAUCCAUCAUAGUACUUCAUACAUGCAUAUUAUCUUAUGUUUUAUUUUUCCUUUUUGGGUUUACAAAUAUCACUUUAUAGUUCUCAACUCUUUAAAACUAAUUAUUCCAUAUUUAUUUCAAGUCAAAUUAAUGCCUUUCAAGCUGGUUUUAUAAUUACUCGUUUAAAAAUUCCUUAAAACGAAAGCAAUGUUUGAUGUUUGAAAAUUCGAGAAAUCGUGCCCUAUCGUGCUGGGUUUCGAUUUCCCAUUUGUUCAAAAUAAUCGAACCUUCCUUUAGAAUUUCACUCGUGUUUUUCUAAAUUUUAAAACAAGGCAAUGUUUGAUGCUUGGAAAUUUGGAGAACCGUGCCCUAUCAUGCUGGGUUUCGAUUUCUCGUUUAUUCAAAAUAAUCAAAUAUUCCUUUAGAAUUUCAUUCGUAUUCUUUAAAUUCUAAAACAAGGCAAUGUUCAAUGUUUGGAAGUUCAAGGAAUCGUGCCCUACCGUGCUGGGUUUUGAUUUUUCGUUGGACUAAAUGAUUGGGCAUCUUGUUGUAAUUUUCAAUGUAUAAAUUUUGGAAGUCGAAAAUUUAUCGUGUUCUUGAGGGAAUAAAAGAUCGUGUCCUAUCGUGUUGAAUAUGAUGCUGCAUUCCUUUGAAGCAAGAGAAUUUUGACAAUCAACUUGAGCUAUUCAAAUGUUUUCGAAGGAACCAUAUUUCAAAAAUAGUUUCAAAUCUCAGACAUAAGGACAGUACUUAAUCAAUUUGGUACCAAUUUUGGGCGUAGUGAGGGUGUUAAUCCUUCCUCAUACGUAACCGGCUCCCGAACCUAUUUUCUCAAAUUUAUGUAGGCCAAAAUUGAUUUAAAUGGAAUAAAAUAUUUUAUCAGGUGAGGCAAUCGCACCUAAACAAAAGAUUGGUGGCGACUCCACGUUUUGUUUUCAAAAAGUCGAUCCCCAUUUUUAAAUCUAAAAAAUGGUUUCGAGAGAUUUCAUUUUCAUUUUGGAGAAAAUCAUAAUCAUUUCCUGAAUGUUUUCCAUUUCUAUUCAUUCUAUUCAUUUUGAUUCAACACGCAAUUCAUUUCUGGUUUCAAAGAGCUAGCUGAGGGAUCGAUUGGAUAUAUGCAAUUAAGGGUGAAUGUUCGAUUGAGUCAAGUCGAAUCAAAUAAAAAAUUUUCGAGUUAGUCGAGUUGACAAAUCCUAUUUUAGCAACCGAACUCAAUUUGAAUUUUUUACGAAUCGAGUCAAAAAAUUUCGAGUCAAAUUAAGUCGAGUUAACGAAUCCUAUUAUUUAUACUUAAUGUUGCGUUUAGAUGGAAUGAUUAUUUAACUAGUAGACGAAGUAUAAAAUUAUUUAACUACAUAAACAAUAUAAUAAUUUUUCCUUUUAACUUAAUGGAUAAAUAUUUAUCAAAACGACAUAGUUUUGACUUUUAACUUAAUUAUUUUGAAUUUUAAAUUUUAAAAAAGUAAUUAUUUAUCAAAAUGACAUAGUUUUAUCUUUUCUUAUUUGAAUUUUCAAAUAAUUCGAAUUGUGUAAUUCAUAUUUGAGUUAGACCGAAAAACUUAAUUUUUUUAUUCGAGUUGAUCCGAAUAACUUGAUUAACUCAAAUAACUCAAACUAUUUAAUUCAAAAUUUGAAUUUUUUAUCGAGUUUUUUGAAUCGGAUCGGAUUUUGCUCACCUCUAUAUGCAAUUGAGGCUCAAAUGAUUUAUAAUUAAGUUUCAACUUUUCACCUAUUAAUAUAAACUCAUUUAGUCACGAAAUCAUUCCACUAUAGUAUCGUGACCAAGCUCUCCCCAAUGACAUACCAUUACAAAAGCAACUCGAUUAGUAUUCGUCCAAUGACCUUGUCAUAACUGUGUUACCCUCAUAAGAUAUCCUUAAUCUCUUUAAGAUAAUAUCUAUUAUCUCAAUAUGAUCCUAUUUUAUCUCAUGGUAACUAUUACAUUUCCUUCAUGAAAAGUCAAUUACUAUCAAAUAGUAAUCAAGUUAUUCAUCACAAAGACAAACGACCAAUAACCACAUUUACUUUUCAUCAACCAUGUAAUGCCAAUGAGAGGAUAUCAUUUACCUGUGUCUCGAGCUAUGAAUUCCAUUGUUGUGAAUAGCACUACAUCUGUAGAAGUCGUACACCCAACACACAGCUUUUGAUUCUUUAUCUAUUCAAACUCAGACUUUUACUUACAUCAAAAUGUACGAGUCACACAUACAUAAUUUGUCAUCCACUCAGGAUAAUGUAUGCCAUACUAUGAACGUCACAAGUGAAUAAAUCCAUAAACGAAUCUAGAGUCCAUUCUUCUUAGGUCCUAUCUGAUAUAUUGUCAGUUUGGUCAGUCACAUUAUGUCUCUAUUUUAUAGGAGUCAUCCGUUCCAAUGCCCAAGGCAAAGAAUCUCCAUAAUUGGAAUUUGAUAUAUGGCACAUUAGUCUUUCAAUUGAUUUGCUCAUUUUUUAUUAGAUUAAAGAUAUGUUCAAGUUCAUCUACUAAUACAAACUAUUUUUUCGUAUUAUGAUCCGACUACGUAAUACCGCUUAGUAUUAGUUUAAAUGUUAGACAACUAAUAAGCAACAUUUAUUUCCAUUUUGCUUUGCAUGCAAAAACCAUAUUAGGAUAAUCAUAUAAAGUAUAUUAAUGUAAUCCAUGAAUUUGUUUUAUAAUUCAAUCUGUUUGAAAAAUUACAAGUUUAUAAACGAAUAUACUACACUUAAGACACUAGAUCCAAUAAUAAGAUCAUUGGACAGUCAUUUAAUAAGUAGCUUUUGUAGUUGUAUAUAAUAAGGAGAUCUCAGUCAUGAUACUUUAGUGGAAUGGUUCCAUGACUAAAUAACGUUGUAAUUAAUAGACAAAGAAUCAAAACUUAAUUACAAAUUACUUGAGCCCUAAUUAUAUAUGUUCAAUCAAUCAUUCUGCUAGCUCAAUAUGACCUUGAAAGUUUGUAUUAGAAUCCAUGAGAUGAAUCAAAUGAAAACGAUGAAUUAGAGAAGUAAAUCACAUGUAUCACUAUCCGCAACAAAUACAUUUUGUCACAACGAACAAGAGAUUACUUAAAGAUAAAAUUAAUUAUUUCAGAUUAUUUUUUAAUUAUUUGUAGUUAAAUAAUUAUGUUGAAGUGGAAAUUAAAUUAAUUAGUCACAGUAGCUUUACUGAAAAUGUUAAUUAAAUUUAUUUUCUAAAUUUUUUAAACUCUUGUUGAAGUUAUAUUUUGUUUACCAAUUAAAGGGUCGGGAUGACUUUUUUUUUUUAAAUGGUGACAGUUGGAAUAAUAUCACAUAUGUGGCGGGAGUUCGGAGAACCAAGUAUUUCAUACUUUUUUUCAUGAAAAAUUGUUUAUAUUUAUUUAAUUGAUACUUAUAAAUAUAUUAUAUGAAAUGAGUUGCGAGGCGAGUAUAGUGAGGAUUAGGUGGGUUUGGGGACCCGCGUGGGUGGUAGGAUGGGGAUGAAAAUUCUUGGCGGUGAUGGGUGUGGAGGGAGCAACCCCCCACCCGGCCCGCCCAAUUGACAUCCCUAAUCAAUGAUUGAGUAAUUAAACAUAUAUUGGAAUUUAUUUAAAUAAAUUAUUUAAUUCAACUAUAAAAAAAAUUGAUUAUGCAUGUACAUGUUUUAAAACCUUUCCUAUUAUUUACUCAUGUCCAUAUUUUUUCUGUUAUUUUUAAGGCAUUAGAUGGAGAGGUUGCAUCAUUUUAGAAAGAAAAGAAUUGGAUACAAAAGAUUAAUUAUACUUUUAAAAUUAGAAACAACACUGAAUUGGUGUUAAAAAAUUUAAUAAUUAAUUAAAAUUUUUUGAAAAUGCGCCAUCUCAUUAUUCACUACGAGAAUAAGGAUUAAAUUGAGUUCAAAUUGUAACGCCCCAAUUUUCGGGAAUUCUAUGAAUGUUGGCAAAAUUUCAUGCUUUAAUUUUGUCAUUUGUGAGUGAAAUUAUGAAAUAGGACCUAUGUGAAAAUGUUUGAAAAUGCUAUAGGCUAAAUUGAAGUGGCCAAAUAAAUAGGAGUGCAAAAUAGGAGGAUUUGCAUGACAAACCUCCCAUUUUACAUGAAUUAAAAUGGUUGUUGUUUCAUGUUCUUUUGAUGAAAAAAAUGGAAGAUAGGUGAAGUUGAGCCAAACAAAUGAGCAUGCAUGUGCCUUAGAUGUUAAAGGGAAAAAUCAGCUAACAUGUUGUGCUUUAAAAUGAUGAAAUGGAAAUUAUUCUUAAGUAAAAUCAUAGAUAUGUGAUGAUUGAUUGGUGAUAUACAUGUUUAAAUAACAUGCAUGCAAGGUAUGUGUGAAAGAGUGAUUUGGUAAUAAAUCUGCUUGGGACAGCAGCAGUAACGUGACUUUGGAAAAUCACCAUAAAUUGUGGGAGAUGAAUUAGAAGGUGAAUAAAUUAUGUAAUUAAAUCUUAAUGAGUCUAGUUUCAAAUGAAAUAAACGAGAACAUAUUUUGAAUUCUGUACAAUGAGAAAUUUGAUUCGUAAUGAAGAGUGGUCAGAUUAGUCAAACAGUGAAACAUGGGAAACUUUAAGAAAAAUCUGGUAUUGAUUGGCCAAACCAAAAAUUCUGAAAAUUUUAUGGGUAGAAGAUAUAUGAGUCUAUUUUCAGGGAAAAUUAACGGCACUUGAUUUGGAGUUUCGUAGCUCCAGUUAUAAAUGAUUUAGUGACUGUUGCUCAGGAAGACAGCUUGCAGUGAAAUUAUGAUUAUGUGGUAAACAUUGAUAAAAAUUUGUUAAUGAGUUGCUUAUUAAUUUCUUAUAAGCUUACUAUGAUCUGUAGGUGUGGUUGGCCGAAUAUUGUAAGGGGUUAAUACGUAGUUUGUAUUUAAAUAGUUAGAUUAACGUGUUAGUAAUCCAAUUGUCGGCGGUUCGUGUGUGGAUCUCGUCAGCAUUUCGUCGCAAACAGGUGUGUAACUAACACCCUCUUUCUUAGUCUGGAUCGGCAAAAGCCGAAAUGCCGAAAACCGGUAUUUUGUAGAUUUGCGAGUGUGCGAAUGCUCGUGAGGUAAAUCGAUUAAUGUUUUUGGUAAGCUGCAAUGUUUGGACUGCAAAGUGCAUGAUUUCUGUGCCCUCGAUAUUUUUGGGCUUAAUGGGCCAAAAUUGGAAUGAUGGGCCAAUGGGCCCAAUUCGGUAAGAACCCUCGGUAGUGAUUCUGUUAGUACUUGAAAGGUAGGAAUAUGCAUGAAAAACCCUAAAAUAGAUAAAUUACUGAAAUACCUUUAAAAGUGGAAAAUUUACAGUUUUACCCCUAGGAGAUAAAUUACCGAAAUACCCCUAGGGUUAAAUUGACCUAAAUGCAUGUUUGACUGUUGUUAUUUACUGCAUGCCAUGUUGUUAUUAUCUGAUGCAUGGGACUGGGAUAUUAACGGAGGAAGUAUUGAAAGUGGCUUGUCCACGUACUGGAGGCUUUGCCUCAAUUUACUGUUAACUGAGCAGCAAGGCUGCAACUGUGGAGUGUUGGGCUGGGUGGGUUGAGCUAUUCCCCACAUGGAGUGUAUGGCUGGUACGGGUGGAGUGUAGUGGUUGGUGGGUUGAGUAGUCUCUCCAAAUGGGCUUGCAUAUGUUUACUGAUGUUGCAUGUAUUUUGGAAUGGGCCUAUGGGCCAUACUGUUAUCUGAAUAAGGGGCUAAGGCCCAGUUUAUUGUAAUCUGAAAAGGGCUCUGGCCCAGUACCACUGUUACCUGAAUAGGCUUAGGCCCAAUAGGCUUGAGCUGACUUGGGCUUUGAAUGGGUUUUCCUUGCACACUGAGUUUCCCCAAACUCACCCCUUUUAUUUUUAUCCACGUAGGAAAUCCCCAACCAUAGUGGGCUUGGAGCUGUGAGGGAAUUCGGAGUGGCCACCCAUUCUGAAAGUUUGAUUUUCUUCUGGUGAACUGGACAUCCUAAAUGUAAUAAGGCCGCUUAAUUAUUUUUUAUGGUUUUAAUAUGUAUUACUAAGAUAGGUAAUACUUAUUUUAACUGUUGAAAUUGGAUAGCUUUAGGGUGCGUUUUCAAAAACAACAGUUGAUUUCAAAAUAACACGACAACAAGCAAAGCUUCCGCAAUGAAAGUAUUUUCCAAAAUUAAUCACUUUUCCUAAAAAUGACAUAAUCAAAUCGGUUUCUAGAAAUAUCCAUGACGUUAAGGUGUGGCAAUGGCGGUAUGCAUGUCUAGGAUUGGAUUCGAAGGGAGCUUGGUACUUAAGCAGUCCGAUGGACUCACCACCUCUUUUCCGGUUUCCUACCUGGUGCACAGCUUCCAUUCACUUUAACCUAUAAUGAAAUUAUCUUUUAAAACACUAAGUAAGUUUUUCUGGUUCAACAAUAUAAAAUGUUUUGAAUGCUUCGAUGUGGCAUGUCGGAUCCGGUCAUAACGUCUGGGCCGGGUUUGGGGUGCUACACAAAUCCUGGUCGUUAUUCCCUUCCCUAAUUUUAUAGGGAAAUUUAGUUAUAUAGGCAAACAUAUGGCAAAAGUAUUCAAAUUAUAUAAAAUAAAUAAAUUCUCAAUAAUCUUAUGUUUGUUUUACUCUAUAAAAAUAUUUAGGAUAAAUUAUUAAAAUAGUCACUUUUGUUUACUUCAGGUUAUAUUUUAGUCACUUACAUUAUUGUGUUGUAAUAUUUUAGUAACUGAGCCAUUAUUUGCUGUUAAAUUAUACAAUUGGUCCUUAUAUUUUUUUUCGUUUUGAGUAAUUUAAUUUUUUCUUUAUUUUUUUCGUUUUGAGUAAUUUAAUUUUUUCUUUUAUGUUUUUUAACUUUUUUUUUCAUUCUCUUCUGUUUCUCCCUCUAUUUUCCUCCUUUCUCCAUUUCUUUUAAUAUAGUUUUUCUAUGUUUUCUAUUUGUUAAAACUAGCCCCUAUAAUUUUAUUUUGAUAUUGGAUAUUUCUUGUACGUUCUAUUUAAUCUUCAUUUUGAUUAGUUUUUAAUAUGUUUUUAGCUUAGGAUAAUAAUUUUGUAUUGAUCUUCAAUGAAAACCUAAUAAAAAGUUUUUUUAAUAUUUUUUUGCUUAUUAUAGACAAUUGUGAAAUGGGAUUUCUGAUAUUUUAUGGUUAUUGUUGAAGCCAUACAAAGGAUCCAAAAAUGGAUUAUUGUGGUGAUUUUAUAGAAUUGCUUGGACUGAUAUUUCAAUGAAGAUUCUCAUGAUAUUGGUUAACCCUUCUUAUUCCAUUAGGGUUAGCAUGGUUUCUAGUUCUUAGCACCAAUUUGCUAAGCAAAUCAAUGUCUUUAGUAGAAUUUAGCUUGGUGUUCUAUUUAUCUCGAAGAAGAAUCGAUAUUGAUUAAUUCAAUAGGAUCUAUUUUAUUCAUCUUGCAGUGAUUGAAAAUGAUCUCUGGGUUUACACAUAGAGUAUGUAAUCAAAUAUAUUUGGCUUUAACAAAUAAAUAAAUAAAAAUAAAAUUGUUCAAAAAAAAAGUAUAGGGAUUAAUUUUAACAAAUAGAAAAUAUAGAAAAACUACUUAAAAGAAAUGUAGAAGGGAGAAAAAAAAGAGGGAGAAGCAAAAGAAAAUGAAAAAAAGAAGAAGUUAAAAGAACGUAAAAGAAAAGAAUUAAAUUGCUCAAAACAAAAAACAGGGACUAAUUUAUAAUUUAACCUAAAAUUUUCGUUUGAAAUGAUGAUUUAACAUACCACAUCAGCUUACCGUUACACUAUUAACGGCUCAAUGACUAAAAUGUUAUCACAUGAUAACAUAAGUGACUAAAACAUAAUAUUUCAAACAUAAAUAACUAAAAUGUAACAUAAGGUAAAUAAAAAUGAGUAUUUUAAUAGUUUACCAAAAUAUUUAAUAUUAUAACUCUUUGCCGGUGAUAAAGAUUCCAUACAUGUUUUUUAUAUUAAAACAUAAAUUUAAUAAAUAAAUAUGUAAAAUGUUAAAAUCAUAUGUUUGUUUUAAUCUAAAAAUAUAUUUAAUAUUAUAACUCUUUGUUGUGAUAAAGAUUCCAUACAUGUUUAUUUUAUUAAAACAUAUGUUUUAAAAAAUAAAUAUAUAAAAUGUUAAAAUCAUUUUAUUACCUUCAUUAGGUUCUAGUAUAAUGUGUGUUGCAUCUGAAUAUAUGCAUUUAUAUUUUUAUUUCAUAUAAUUCAAGAUGGUUUAUUUCAACAUUUAUUACAAAUUUGAAUAAAUGUAAAAAGAAAAAAAAAAUCUAUCUUGAAAUUUUAUAUAAAUAUCUUAAAAAUUGAAUUCCAAUAAAUAAAAAUUAUCGAGAAUUAAGAUUGGAGUGUGAUUUAAUUUGUAUGUUUACAAUAAUUAUAGAUAAUAUUAACUAUGCUUUUAGUAUAUUGAAAUUAUUGAAUUAACCAUUGAUUUUUAAAUUUAAUGUUAAAACAUUAAUUUCAGUUUUAGUUUUAAUAUUUAAAAAUAUUUUUAACAUUUUAUAUUUUAAUGUUUUUCAUUUUAAAACCAAAUAACAAUAGUAUUAAUUAAAAAUAAAUUCCAAUUGUAUUAAAUAUAAUUAAAUUUAAGUUUUUAUGAUCAAAAUUAACUUGUUUAAUUGAGAUGAGAUUAUUCUAAUAUAUUUUUCAAUUUAAUAUUUUAUUUUCAUAAGUAAAAAAUAAUUGAGAUUAAAUCAUCUAAUUGUAUUAUGAAAAAAAUGAAAUAAAUUAAAGAACAAAUAAAAACUUAAACUUUUUAAAUGCAUAUUUAAAAAAAUGUAAAAGGUUCAAAUUCUUAAAAAAAAAAAUUUAAAAUUAUUAUAAUAUUUGAUUAUUUUUGAGAUACUUCCAACUUAUCGAUGUUAAUAUAUAAUCUUUUUGGGGCUUAUAGAAAUAGUAAUUAGUAAUUAGAUUUGAGUAAACCAUAAAGCAAGUCAAAUUCAUGGUGCAAAAGUAUAGAACCAAAAGUGAGAAAACAAAACCUAUCAUUCAUCUUAAAAAUAAUUUCGAUAUUCCUCCUGAAAUAUUGUUCAUUCUUCCGCCUUUAUACUUUGUUUCAUACUUGUGGAUCUUCAAAAUAAUUUUGAUAUUGCUCCUCAAAUAUUGUUCAUUCUUCCACCUUUAAACUCUGUUUCAUACUUGUGGAGUUGCGUGAAUAAUGCUAAUAUUUUUUUUUUAAUAAAUAUUAAAUGUUAUUUGUAAUAGUAAAUCUUAAUCUUAACUUUUAUAUUACUUAUAACACUAAUUAAAUGACAAAUAAUUUAAAUUAAUAUAUAAUAAUUAAUCGAUAUAUUCAAUAAAAAUUCUAUUAUACAAAUAAAAAAAUAAUGGCAAUUAAGUAAUAUAAUGAAUAAUGAAGAGUAUUCCCGUUGAUUCAGAAGUUUUUUUAAACUUGUGCUUUUAUAUAAAUUAUAGAUUAGAUUACAACACAUUCACAUUAUGAUUAAAAAGAAAAAAUAUUACAAAUAUAUUUAUAAAAGAAUUGAAGUAAGAAAUAAAUAAGACAAUGGUUGAAAUGAUAAAGUUAAUAUAUUAAAAGUCAUAGUGACCUAGGUUCAAAUAUCAUUAUAUGCAAUUCUCUAGAUUUUAUAUAAAAUAUAAAUUGAUAAAAUAUUUUUAUAAUAAUAUUUGUUAUUUUAUAAAAGGAAUGUGAUUAGGACAGUGUGUGCCUUGUUGGUCGAAUAUUAUAUUACGGCUCGCAAUGUUACAUUUUGGAAUUAGACUAUAUUGUUUGAAUUUUCAACAUUCCCAUGAACCCGAUAAUAUAGGCUGUAAUUUUAUUACUAGGUUAUCUUAAAUUUUGGACUAAAUUACCUUUUAUUUUUAUUAUUUUAAUUAAUUUAAUUUAUUUUUCUCAAAUAAAAUUUAAUAUUAAUUAAAAACAAAAAUAUCUUUUUUCUUUAAAGUGAAAUUGAAGAUCUCAUUCUUUAAAAAUAUAAUUAUUAUAUUUACUCUAUUAAUUUAUCCAUUAACAUAUUAAUUAUGAUUAUAAUUAUAAUUAUAAUUGGAGAUAUAAUUACUUUUCAUGCAUUAUUAUAAUUAUGAUAUAUAAAUUAAUUUUAAUAUUAUAUAUUUAUUUAUUAAAUAAUUUUAUAAAAAUUAAAAUAAAAAACUAAACUUAUUUAAAAAAAUAAAUUCUAUAAUAAAAAUAAUUUAAUAAAAUAUAAUCCUACAUUCCUUAAACCAAACUGAGUGUAGCAAUGCAAGGCCAAUAAACUGUAGUAUAGUAGUAGAUUAAUGAAUGAAAGUUAAAAAGAAGGGAAAAAAGAAGAAGGAAAAACAGAGAUAACCAUAAAUGAUACAGUUUGACAAGAAAAGAAGAAAGACAUGGGAGAGUAGAGGGGGUUGAAGGUGAAAGCUUGAAAAAGGGUUGAUGAAGUUCAACUGCAGUAAUGGGGGGUUUGGUUAGAAGUAUGAUAAUAGAGGAAUCUUUUUCUUUGAUGUUGUUGGAUCGGAUGAAAUGAAACAAAUGGACUCAACUUUUUCAUCCAUUAGGAGCGCAGGACCAGCAGACAAUGAAUGCCACCAAAGUCAAAACUCCAUUCCCGACCUAACUCUAACACUAACAUGCUCCCUCCGCUCAUGGUAAUUGGUAAGCAAACAGCAGUAGCAGUAAUAAUAGACAUAAAUAAAAUACUAGUAAAUAAUAAUGGGAAUGACUUUGUGGGCACAUUUUUUAUCAGUACGAAGUUGAUUGAGAUUUGAGAGUUAAAGACCAACUGGCCAUUUGUUCUUGGUGGACAAGAUAAUAGAGAGAGAGAAACCAAAUAUGAUGAAAGGACAAGCUCACAUGAGUCGAACCAGAUCAUUCAUGGGCCCCUACGUAGGAUGAGUAUUUACCUCCUCACCAUUCUCCGUCUUUCUCUCUCUUUGACACCCCCCCCCCCCUCAAAAAAGAAAAAAAAUCAGCUUUGGCUGUUUUCUUUAAAAGAAGAAGCUUCGAUGGAGGCAGAAAAAAACUGGGUUUAAA
This 87496-nucleotide long non-coding RNA is filed under the name Gossypium barbadense (sea-island cotton). RNAcentral's name for it is "long non-coding RNA (GBAR_LNC009979)". The record is from RNAcentral. Lineage: Eukaryota; Viridiplantae; Streptophyta; Magnoliopsida; Malvales; Malvaceae.